Molecule: long non-coding RNA, 52950 nt
Filed under: Lactuca sativa (garden lettuce)
Lineage: Eukaryota; Viridiplantae; Streptophyta; Magnoliopsida; Asterales; Asteraceae
Description: long non-coding RNA (LSAT_LNC000087)
Source: RNAcentral
CCCCAGAUAUGGAAUCCCAGGCAGGGCUAAAUCUUUCAUAAGGAUAUUUCAAAAUAACAGGAAGAACAGGAGCUUUUGCCAAAAAUGCACCGGUUUUAAAUGGAAGUAUAUAAUCCCCAUUUGUAGUUGUUCCUUCUGUAUAAACAAAAACAAAGAUAAUUAAACUAAAUUAGAUACAGGUGGGUGGGAUCAAAAAUUAAUAAUUUUGCAGCUAACAUGUGAAUAAAAAAAACCCUACAUUUCAGAAAUACAAAAGAAAUUAUACACCUCAACACAAGUAUUUUUAGCAUUUAAAGAAGAAGGAUUUUACUUGAUAGAAAUUUGUAUAUAAAAUAAUAACCUGGAAAAAGCAUCAUCAUGGGUGCAGAUUUAUUUUCGUGGGCUUCCUGAAUUCUCUCGUUCACCACAGCUGGAAGCAACAAAGUUAAAAAAAUGAAACAGAAAUUACAUUUAAGAAAAAAUGUAGAAAAAGAGAAGACACACACACACACACACACAUAUAUAUAUAUANGAAAAUCAUGAAAUAUAUUUUGAUCAUUGAUACAAUCCCAAGAAAUAUACAAUACAGUUGUCAUCAAACAUUUAAAUAUACCUGAAACGCCCUUUGUAUUUGAUGAUUUUGACUCCCGCUGGACAUAUACACAACCAAGACAUUGGCUGAAAAAACAAAAAAUUGUAAUUAUAAAGCAAUGGAUAACAAAUGUAUAAACUAUAAAAGAAUAAUACAAGAAGAUAGAAAACAAGACUUCAUAAGUGUCUUUCUGAUCUAUGAAUGUAGAUUUUGCUGAAUUUUAUCUUCAGCAUUGAAGGGAUGUUUUUUUUAACAGAUAACAAAUGAAAAUAUGGAUGUGAUUCAAACCAACCUUAUAAGGCCAACCAGAGGAAGCUUGCCCACUGAUCUCUUCAUCAAUGAUAAGAAACAAACCAAACAUUCAGUUUAUAUUACCACAAACUUAAAUGGAUUUAAACUUUUUGGAUCUAAAAAAUCAAAAAGUAGACAAACCUUGGCAACAAAACUUGGAAAUGAGGAAGACAUAUGGUACAAAAUAUCCAAAUGUGAAACAUGGUUUGAUAUGAUUACUCCAGGUCGUUCAUCUUCUUCCUCAGAUUGCUCAUUCAAAUCCACCUGACCAUUGAAAGUAAUCAAGGUAAUCAAAUGCUGGUUUGAACUUUGAACUACAAAUACUACUAGUUUUGCAAAAGAAAUAAUAAUAUCAUGUUUACACUAUAACUGUUAGAUACUGUCAGUAAGCACAUACAAUAAAGAAUCUUGACACAUAAAGUGCCCUUGCUAAUGAUGUUCCUAAUACAGGAAUGAAUGAUAGAAAUCAUGAACUCGAAAAGCCACUUUUGAUAGGGACUUCUAUGACUCAAUUUGCAUAUCCCUAAAUUACCUUAAGAAGCAAUUAACAAAGAUAGUAAACUGGAAGCACAUGGUUUACUGCAUACUAUAUACAUACACCAGAAAUUAAGCUACCUCAUUGUCGAUACUUCCAUUGAUUUUUGGAUUCCUGCAAGUCUCCUGAAUCCAAUAAAAUCCGAAUGCGAAAAGCAUAAUCCUAGAAAGAACCCUUCCAGACCAAUAGAGAACAGUUCUCCUCCACCCACCCAUGUGAGCGUAAUCCUCCUGUUCGUCUUCCCGAUUUGGUGCCAUAAACAGAGUACACAUCCUACAGAUCAAGUAAUACAGCACAACCACCGUCGUCGCCAACACCACCCGCAGAGGGAGGAGCGUAACGAGCGCAAUUCCUAACAAAACCUUCUCCGGCCAGGGUAGCUCUCCACACCCCAUGGUGCCAUACACAUCGUGUCGGACAUACGCGGCGUAUUUCUUCUCGAGCUCUUCGAUGCUGGGGCGGGGUGUGGAGGAGUCAGAUUUGUCGUCAUCGGUUGUGGUGGUGGUGGUGGUGGCGGCGGUGGGGCUGAGGAGGGGGAGAUCGUCAUUAUCAGAAGCGUCUUCGAGAUUGGGUUGAGAAGUGGGAGAUUGGGGUUUUGAAGAUAAGUCUUUGAGCUGUGAAUCCAUUUAAGAUGCGAGGGCUGAUCUUGCUGGAUUUGAUGUUGAUUGUUUGUAUUUCAUAGAAAUGCGGAAGAGUGACAGUAGACGUGAAGAUCGAUGGUGGUGCCGGAUGUAGGUGGUGGAGCUGGUUAGAUAUAACCCAAAUACGAGAAGAGAAGUCCCCACCGCGAUCACAAGAACUGAAGAAAGAGACUCCCAAUCUCAAUCUCAAUCUCAAUUAUUAUCUUAAAUCUAUUUAAAACUAAAAACAGAAUACCAUUCUCAAGCUUUUUAUUAUUUUUAUUUAUGGAAAAAGCGAAAAUUAGUAUUAUUUUAUUAUUUUUUUUUAAAGAUCAAGUCAUAAAUGGAUCAAGAAUAUGAGUCUGUUAUAUUAUCUACAAAUACAAUAUAUAAUUUUUUUAGUUUUAAUUUAUACAUCAUUUAGUUUAACUAAUGUUUACUUAUUUGUAAAAUAAAAAAAAAAAAAAUAAACAUAAUAAUCAUGUUAAACUUAAUAAAGCUUUUAGAUAAAGUUGUAACAAAGAUAUAUACUUUUUAGUUAUUAUCAAAAAAUAAAAAAGUUAUAUCGAUAAAAAUCAUGAAAUUCUAAAACGAAGUAAAUCAUGCAAUUUAUUUAUAUAAUAAAAUGGAUGAUAUGUAAUUUUUUUAUUGCAUUAUAUGGUGGAAUGGAAUUAAAUAAUGGAUAUCAGCAAUACAAUAAAAUUUUAAAAUUAUCUAAUUAAAAUUAUUAGAUAAAUUGAAGACUUUUUUGUUCCGUAUAUAUCGGAUAUCGGAUAUUACCCAAUACUUAAUUAUAUUCUUAAGUUUUGAUUUUAUAAAAUCGAAGAAAAACUAAUAAUCCUAUAACUUCGUCCUUAAGAACGAUUUGAUAACUAUAAGAAAAAUUCUGUCGAUAUUAUAAAACUUUUUCUUCCUUUAUCACUAAAAUCAUAUGGAAAUUCUGGAUGAACAUAAAAACAUUUUCGACCACUUUCUUUCGUUUCCCAUGUUUUCAUUCCUUGAAAAGUAAUUAGAGUACCCCUUUUCUUUUCUUUUCUUUUUUUCUUCAAAAUAUUUGAGAAUAAAAUUUUCGUUCUAAGAAUUCGAAGGAUGGUAGUAACAAUGGUUCUAGAAGAAAAUACUUGGGCAUGGCAUUUGAAUUUAGUUAUUUAACUUACUAUGGUUUCACAUGGGGAAGGUAAUCAUGAAUGGAUCUUACAUUGGUUGUGUAAAGCUGAUCCCAAAGCCCUAUAAUGGUGGUAUAGGAUCAAAGUCCUAUAAUGGUGGUAUUGAGUUAGCCGGGUCACACCAUCCCAAAGUCCCAUGAAAUAGCAGGUUGCUUACGUCAUAAAAACUGUAUUCAGAUUUUAUCUAUUGACUCUCCGCUAUGAGUCUUAGCAUAGCUUUCUAUGAUUCAUAUAUGUACCUAGAAUACAUGACAUUUAAAUGAACGAAGUAUGUAAGACAAUCAUUGUCUCGUGAGCUACAUUUGUUUAGACACAUAAUUAUUAGCAAAAUCAUUUGAUAAAACUGUAAUUUGACAUUUAUAAACGAGACCAUGUUAUGCAAGUCCUCACUCAAUGCAAAUCUUUUUGGGCCUUCCCGAGCCUCGGCUACUUGUUGAAUCUAAUGUACAUAAGGGUUGCCCCAAAUUGGGCGGGUCAAAUAAAGUGACAAUGAUAUACACCCCUAAUUGGAUUGGUUAAAUAAAGUGACAAAUAAUUACCGGAGAACAAUCAUCCGAUCAAUGCCCUGCAAUUGGUCCCCAUGCAGACCUUAGGUCUAGCCGACACUUUCUCAUUAAUAUGUAAUUCGUUCAUAUGAUGCAUGACCACCAUUUUCCUGACUCAAUCUCACACAAAUGAUUGUUGUUAUGCUCAAGCACUUUCAAUAAUAACAUUGCAUAGUAAUAUAUUCAAACAUAUUGUGACUGUAAAAUACAAUUCUUUAAUACUCUUUCAAUAAUUCAUGUAACAAAUCGUAUCUAGAUAACCAUUACUCAUGAAAGAGUUUAUUUGUUCGAUAACAUUUGUCUUUCAAAACCUUUAGCUUACCCAUUAGAAAAAAGAGUUCAUUUACUUGCUUGCUAGGAUUUAUUACCUUUUCAACAAAAAAAAAUCAAAUCACUUUCAAGCAUCUCACUAAAAACUUUACUAAUAUGCCAUGUACCUAGAGAAAUUUCACAUGUACUCACAUGACUCGUUAGUAAAAACUAAUUUCCGUUCUGACAUCUAGCUUGGUGCUAUCUCUUAGCUCAAUCACUUGUCCAAACCUAAUUGGAUAAACACUAAGCUCCCUAAGACUGUUACUAAACGGCUUAAUGUCGUUAAGCCGAUAAUCCAAUAUUGCAAACCGGACAAUCCUGUAAACUUGGGUUUAAAACUCUCAUUAUCCAAAGCGAGAGUUCCACCAUGGAAACCCUCUAUCAAUCCCAGUUCAUACCAAUAUCGUGUUACGAAUUUCAAAUAUUAUAUCGGGUUUCAACCCUUUACGACCCGACUUACUUAACUACAGUUACGUAUUAACAAAUCAAGAGGAUACCUUAACUUAAAUGACAUUCAUACCCUUGCUAAACAACCUCACGACCUUUGUCUCUAAGUUGUAAUCGUCGUCCACCAACUUUUAUCUUAACUCUUGUAUACUUACGUUAAAACGUACAUCCAAAGGCUACAAGAUGUUGCUUAAGUGCUCGCAACACUCAUUUCUAAGCUAUAUCCAUAAUCGUCCAGCACAUCUACAUGAAUCCAAAUUUUUUGGUAACAAAUCAAUUGCUUUUCAAAUUUUGAAAAAACAAUAAUUAUAUCCUAAUUUAUUUCCGACAUCUUUGUUAUAUAUCAAUUCAAAAAUUCAAUUAAGUAUGUCAUGUUUUUAAAUCAUGAUUACUUACGAUUGAUGAUCAGAUGAAUUUUUUUACUGUUAUUAUUUUUUUUGUUUAUAUAAAAAUAUUAAUUAUACCGACCAUGGUUUCAUGGUUUUUAACACAAUAUCUAUGUAAACAAUAUUCUAAAGUUAUUAAUAUGAUCGGUGAAAAAUAAAAUUUUAUAAUUAGUUUUAUAUAUAUAUGGGAUGAGCAGUUUGUCCCAAAUCCCGAUCCCGUAUUGGUACCGUACCGGAACUGAUACCGAACCGUACCGAAUUUGAAAAUAUGGGACGGUACUCGGUGCUCCAAAUACAUGAAAUUCGGGAUUCGGUACCACCGAUACCGGUACUAGUAUCGAAAACCGGUGCAAUUUCCGGUACCGGUGUCGGUGAUGUUAAUUCGGUUCGGUACUCGGGAUUGACUUUCGAUAAAAUUCGGUUUUCGGGAAAUCGGGAACGGCACAGGUCGGUACCGGUUCCAUCUCAUGCUUAGGUUAUUUUGUUUUUAUUAAGUAUUAUGUGACAGAAUGUACAGAUCUGGACCAACGGGUGAAAUUAAUCAAUGGACAUAAUUUAAGAGUGUAUGAUAUUACAAUGGGAUAACAUGUACCAUAUAAUCACACAUUUUUUAGCAAAAUGGUAUUUUGGACAAUUAACUACAUUUAUAAAAGGAAAAUUUCAGAUUUUUAGGGAUGAUUAAUUCUCUUAAUUUAAAAAAAAAUCUGAAUUUUUUAAUUAAUUCAAUUUCAAUUUUUACCGAUUUUAUUCUGUCAGAAUGUUUUUUGUUAGAAUAAUGAUCUUUCAGAAUUUUAUUCUAAUAGAAUAUUAUUGAAGAAAAACAAAAUUAUUGAAUCAGAUGUUGAAAAAUAACAAACAUUUCAAUAUAUUCUUAUACAUCCGAACUUAAAUACAAAUUCAUACAUAUUCUUACAGACUAAAAUCCUUAUACAUUUUAAUAUAAUUAUACAUAUUCUAAAAGAAUAUCAACAAAAAUGAUUAAAGUUCUUAAAAAAUAACAACAUUCUUAAAUUGUGAGUAUGAUCAAACUUUAUUCAUUCUUCAAGUUAUUCCUAUUAGGUCUUCAAUGCCUUCUUCCAGCCAUUCCUAUCAAAAAUACAAAAAAAAAAAAAAACAAUAAUUGUUAAAAACAUGUUACUUGCAACUAACUAUCACUUAAUAUAUUCUGGUUGAAUACAUAAAAUAUGACAGAAUACAUCGAUUUUAUUAUGGUAGAAUACAUUCUGAUAGAAUACAUAAAAUACAUAUAAAAGUAUUGUAUUUACUGCUAAUAUAAUUUUAGAUUUCAAAUAUACAAUAACGAGGGUAUGAAUAUUGGAUAUUUUCCACAUAUUGCUUAUUUAAUCAAGUGAUUAUAAAUGCUUUUGAGAAGACUUUUCUCAUUCAUACAAUGUUUAAGUUCUAAAUUGUCUCAAAUUUGUGAAAAUCUCUUAUAAACUGUUAAUCAAAUCUUCAUCCUAAAUUGAUUAAAAAAUCAAAUACCAAUAGCAAAGAUUGAUGUUACUCAGGUAAUUAACAAAUAAGGAGUUAAUAACAACAACAAAAAAAAACAUAUCAAAAGGUUUAAUGAAGAAAAUAAAAGAAAUACUCUUUCAGGCAAUUAACAAAUAAACAUACCACAUGUUAGAAGCAAGUAACACAAACAACCAAGUUAGAAUUACUUUUGUGUUCUUGAAGAAUUUGAACAUCAAAAUGUCCUUGAGGCAUUUCUACAAACACCUGGCAUGCAACACAUAAAUCAAAUUUUCUUUCAGGCCAUUGCUACAACAAAGCUGCCAAAUUCUCUUUGAGGCAUUUCUACAAAAAUCCAUCGAUUGUUAAUCAAAUGAACACCUAUGUAGUUCUGCCAAAUCAAACAAGAACAAAAAGAAAAGAAGGAGCCUUUACCUAUUGAUUGAAUCAUUGUUGCCCAGCUUCCUCCAUCACCGAUUCCACCCACCUGCCGAUUGCCACCACCCUAUACGACUUAUUGUCGCCUUACAACUCCCAAUUUGCAACCACCCUUGUGCCCUCACGAUUUCUGAACCACCAGACCACCAUUCGACUUCCAUCAAUCGCUUGAUGCCUUCUCGAUCUGAUGAAGACGACGAUGAGGACCGAAGUCCCUUUCUCAGCCCUCCUUGCGAAUCUGUUGACCCUCACUAGUGCCCUUGAUUUUUGAGGUUCCUUAUUCCCGAUCUGUUGAAGAAGACGCGUCACCAAAAAAAUAGGGUCGAUGAUUUGCAUUAGGGUUGUGGAUAUGAUGGUUUGAAAUAAGUCAAAUAAUAGUAGACGUGANCAUAUAUCCAAAGUGAUAAUUUAAUUAGGAUUAAAUUAAUCUACUAUCAUAAAACUUAUCCAAAAAUCAAAAUUUCAUAUGUUUUACUAAAAUACCCUUCUCAAAUUAAUAGUUAGGAAUAAGCCAUUUUAAUUAGGAUAUCAAGUUUUUAUAAUUCAAUUAUAUUUCUCCUCUUCUUCUCCAGCAUGUCGUUAUUCUCCUCUUCUUUUGCAAUCUUCAUGAGUUCAUAAUUGAAUUAUUCCUCUUGAUUUUCGGUGAUUGGUUGGUUUCUCUUGAAUUAUUCACUAGUAAUUUCAACAUUGAAUGUAAUUGUGAAUGUUAUUUAAGAGGAAAAUCAAUAUUAUCAUUAAUUUUUGUACCAUUAUUUAGAACCCUUAAUACGAGAAUCUAGUAGCUAUUUAAGAAGAAUUGGACAUUCAAGAUUCUUCAGUAUACAAUCCUUGUUCCUUUCUAUUACAUGCAAACUUUAAUGCCACAAUUUGAAACAAUUCCUAACUUUAAUACUUAACAGGAACUUUAAUGUAAUAAUUUGAAACGAUUCCUUCAAAUUUAAUGCCUUAAUCUAAUGAAUAAGAGAUAUAGCAAUGAAGAAAAGAAGCACAAGGUUUAGUCGACACUUUCAUACCUGCGAUAAGGAAGAAUUAGCGGCAUUAAGCUUUGAAAAUUUUAAUUACGGUUAAAAAUUUGGGAAGGGUAUUUUAGUACAAACAUACGGGAUUUUAAUUUUUGGAUAAGUUUUUUAAUAUUUGAUUAAUUUAAACCUACAUAAAUUAUCAUUUUGGAUAUAGGUGUGAGUUAUAUAGUUUGAGAAGGAUAUAUAUGUAAUUAUAAAAUUUAUAAGGAUAUAGAAGUAAUAUUUAAACUUUUUAAGGAUAUAAAUGAAAUUUUCUCAAAAUUGAAAAUAUAUAGUUGUUGUGAGUUGCAGCGUCGCUGGGGACAGGCCUCGUUGGCAGUAACGAUAUGUAGGAGAAAUGAUGGAUUUAUGUAUGGUACUCUAUAAUNAAUAUUAUUAUUAUUAUUAUUAUUAUUAUUAUUAUUAUUAUUAUUAUUAUUAUUAUUAUUAUUUAUUUAUUUAUUUUUUGCUUUAUUUAGUUAUCUUUGUUUUUGUGGUUUAAAAAUCUUUUAAUAUUUUGACGUUUUAUUUAAAUAUUUUUUAAUGUUUUUUUUAACAUUUUGUUCGUUUAAAUUAUGUAAUGAUUUUUUGACCUUUUUUCGAAUAAACAAAUUAAAACCAUAACCCAAACAUGUACAAAAAUUAUCGUCCGUUUAGUUAAACGAACGAACAUGAACAAUGGUCUCGUUCGUUCAUUUAUGUUUGUGAACGUUCGUUUAUGAUGUCCGUUUACGUUCAUUUAUGUUCGUUCGUUUAAUUUAUUUACAUUCAUUUAUAUUCAAUUUUUUUAUUAUAUUAACAUAUUAUAUGUUCGUUUAUGUUCAUAUACGUUUAAUUUGUGUUUGUUUAUCUUUUUCCGUUUAUAUUCGUUUAGUAUGUUCACGAGCAUAAACGAACGAACAUUAACAAGAUAAAAUAUUUGUUAAACGAACGAACACGAAAAAAAAUAUCGUUCGUUUAUCCGUUUGUGCUCAUUUGUUUGUUCGACUAACUUAAACGAAUGAACACAAAGAUAAACAAACACCGUUUGUUCGUUUGUUCGUUUGUUCGUUUGUUCGUUCGUAUUCGUUUAUUUGAUAAACAAACAGGUGGUGUUUGUGUAUCUUCGUGUUCGUUCAUUUAAGUUAGGUGAACAAACAAACAAAACGAAUAGAUAAACGAAUGGGAUUUUAUUUUUCAUAUUCGGUCGUUUAACAAAUUAUUUUGUUCAUGUUUGUUUGUUUAUGUUCAUAAACAUAAACGAACAAACAUAAACGGAAAAAGAUAAAUAAAGACAAUUGAACUAUAUGAACAUAAACGAACAUAUAAUAUGGUAAUAUAAUAAUAAAAAAAUUGAACAUAAAUGAAUAUAAAUAAAUUAAAUGAAUGAACAUAAAUAAAUGUAAACGGACAUUAAAACAAACGUUCACGAACAUAAAUGAAUGAACGAUAUCAUUGUUCAUGUUCGUUCGUUUAACUAAAUAAACGAUAAUUUUCGUUCAUGUUCAGGUUAUUGUUUUAAUUUGUUUAUUAGAAAAAAAAAGUCAAAAAAACCAGUAUAUAAUUUAAACGACUAAAACGUCAUAAAAAAAAAAAAAAAAAAAAAAAAAAAAAAAAANNNNNNNNNNNNNNNNNNNNNNNNNNNNNNNNNNNNNNNNNNNNNNNNNNNNNNNNNNNNNNNNNNNNNNNNNNNNNNNNNNNNNNNNNNNNNNNNNNNNNNNNNNNNNNNNNNNNNNNNNNNNNNNNNNNNNNNNNNNNNNNNNNNNNNNNNNNNNNNNNNNNNNNNNNNNNNNNNNNNNNNNNNNNNNNNNNNNNNNNNNNNNNNNNNNNNNNNNNNNNNNNNNNNNNNNNNNNNNNNNNNNNNNNNNNNNAUAUAUAUAGACCAAUGACGUAUAGUUAAUUUUCACAAACCAUAAGGAGGUAACCUAUCAAAUUUUAAACUCAUGGACCAAAACUGAUAAUUCAACCAAAUCAUAAGGAGCAUUUUUUUUAAUUUACUCUAAUUUAAAUAAUCAUAAAUUCUCAAACACUUAAAUUGUUGAUUUUUAUGUUGAGUACUAAUUCUAAUAAUGUUGUCACCACUAUCACCAUUUAUGGUGUCAAUGGAGACAAUGAGUCAAUGAUUAGUAGGGGUGGGGGAAUUUCAAUGUUAAUGUAGUUUAGGUGGGGGAGAGAUGACAUGAUGUUUCAUUGUGUCUCUACUGAUCUGAAAAAAUGGAUUUUUAAUUAGUUUGAGUUUUGAAGAGUUUGGAGUUUCUUCCCAUACUUCAUUACUUCUAUAAAGGACUAAAAUGAUAUUUUUCUCAAAUUUCUCAUUUAUUUUCCUUCCUCAUUCACGUUGGCCAACUACAAACAAGUCUAUGAUCAUGCAAUUACAACCACUCUUGCCCCUCACAAUCACACAAUCACCACCUUUAUGUGUUGUCCACAAAAACAACAUAUCAACCUACCUUAUUUCAUCAAUAUUGCAUCAUCAUUAUUUAUGCUUUUAUCAUCCAUCAAUGGUAUCACAUCAUCAUUUACCUCCUUGUAGUAAUCCCAACUAUUUUUUUAGGACUGCAUAUAUUUCAUAUAUAACAACUAGCAAGAUGUUUGAAAAACAAAAGUUACAAGAAGUAAAUAGCAAUAAUUUGGUUUUGAAGCCAACAAAAACAAUUAAUUUUCAGUUUAGAACUCCUUUUGGAGAACCAAAAGAAAACUUGAGAAACUAUGAAAUUCAUACAUUAGACAAUUAUAUCAUGUAAUCUCUGAAGAUCUCUAGCCUAUCACUAGCAUGCAUUUCUAUCAAAAUCAUCAAUAACAAAUAACAGUGUGGGAACUUAGGGUAUACUUUCUUGCUCCGACUUAUCAUACACAUCUCGUCCUUCCUUGAUUACUUUUGAAAACAAUUUUCGAAAAUCAUUUAGAAAACUUUUGUAGAUCCUUAGUUUGAGUCUGGAUUAGCACGAAUGCUCAUCCAAUUCUCUCAAACCAAGGCUCUAAUAUCAACUUGUAACAUCCUAAAAUCACAAUAAAAGUUUUCAUUUUCAAAUCAAAAGAAACCAUUGUUUUCAAACAAAACUCAUAACAAAACCAAGUAUAAAGUACAAAUAUCCCAAUAUCAGUGUAUCAUAAAUCUCCAAUAAUAUGUCAUAGAAGGAUGUGUACAAUCACGUCUUUGCCUUGCCACGAUCAUCUGAAGUACUUGAAACAAUAAAUUGAAUUUGUAAGCCAAAGCUUAGUGAGUUCCCCCAAAGUACAAUACACAACAUAUAUAGCAUAUACAAUCAUGCAUGCUAAGUCGAAUCAUUCAUCAGACUGGAAUACCUUCAGGUCCACAACCAUCGGGCUGGAUUACCCCGGCCCAAUCAGUCAUCGGACUGGUAUACCCUCGGGUCCACUGUCAUCGGGCUAGAUUACCCUCGGUCUGUUAGCUCACACACAUAGAAGUAAAGCAUCAACCACAAGCCAUAUUAUGUCUACAUAUGCAACAAAUAAACAUAUAAACAAUCAACAGGCAACAUACAGAUCUACAAAUCACUAACGCAUAACACAUCCUAUCUACCAUGAUAUAGAUCUAACAGAUCACUAUAGCAUAACAACAUCAUAUAUACAAGGAUACAGAUAUAACAUAUCACUACAUCAUAAUAACAUCCUAUAUAUACCAAGAUACAUAAACUAGUGGGCCGACAUUAGUGCCUUCGACCCAUAAGUAUAGGAACCUACUCAGAAUAUUAGCUCUAUCAGUCACUUUAUGGGAUGUAGGAGGGUGCAAAACUUCCAGAUCCAAGGUUGUUCCAAGCUUCCAAGAUAUUCUCCUUUCCUUCUCCUUCCUCUAUGAACACCAAAACACUCACUAAUGGCUCAAGGAUGCUAAAAAAUGGAUUAGGAUUAGCUAGGUCGAAUAUGGAAGUGGAGGGUGUAGAAUGAAGAGGUUCCAAAGAGUUAAGGAUGUUUAAAUAAGGUCCAAACCCUAAAAAUUAGGGGUUGACCCCUGCCCACGUACACCCAGCGUACACAUGCAACCUUCAUUUUUCAUUUAAAUGCCAAUUGGGACCAAAUUUGCAAACAAUUCUCAUACCAAUGGUCAAAAUGUAAAAUACAUGGAAAUCGAGAUGUUACAUGAUCGGUAGGGGGUAGAGGCUCGAAUCGUCGAUCGGUGGGGGGAUNGUAAAAUACAUGGAAAUCGAGAUGUUACAUGAUCGGUAGGGGGUAGAAGCUCGAAUCGUCGAUCGGUGGGGGGAGAUGGUCAAAUCGUUGAUCGUCGCUGAAAGAGAGAAGAAAUGGGGUUGGAGGCUCUGAAAAUUGGAACAAUAGGGCAUGGGCACUUUUGGAAACGUUAAUCCCUUUCUCAUUCAGUCGAUAUCUCUCAUCUUUUCCACUCAGGUUUAGUUUGCCGAGUAAGACACCAAAAAUCAGUGUAACAAACAACUUUAACGAGUCAGCAAAAAACGUUUAACCCGACUCGGUUAGAAGUAUAUCAAACAGAGCCUUAGUGUAUUUUGUAUUAUCAUUAUUUUUUCAUUAUAAUUAAAGUUUUAGNGAGGUACCAUGAGAUGUUGAGGAGUGAUAUCCAGCAGUUUGUAUGUCAGUCCAGUUACAAGACACUGGAGGAUAUUAUAGCGAGACACACACAGAGAGAGAGAGAAAGAGAGAGAGAGAGAGAGAGAGAGAGAGAGAGAGAGAGAGAGAAGUUUUUUUUAUAACCUAUAUUUAAGCAAGAACUUGAGAAUUUGUCCAUCGAGCCAACAGAAUUGGGACUAAACUUAAAUUUUGAAUUAUUUUUCGUACCAAGUGUAAAAAACAAGAUUUCGUAUCAUGUCGUGUAUAAAAUUUGAUACGAAAUUGAUAGGAUUUAAAAUCUUCUUGUCGUGUUUUGUCAUGUUAUGUAUAAUUAAGUAUUAAUUUAAUAAAUUAAUUGUUAUUUUAUGUUAUCUUUGUUGUGUCGUGUCGUGUUUAUCAUUUUUUAUUUGGUUCGUUUUUGUGUUAGUUAAAAAAAACGACAUCGUGUCAUGUUUGUGUUACAUAAAACUUUAUCAUGUCCUCUCAUACAAAAACACGACACGAUUACCCGAUUUAUCACCCUAUACAUCCUUAUUUUUGUAUGUGUACAUUUAUUUUUUUUACUUUUUUUUUCAAGUUUUUGGAUUGUGAUGUCCUAGACGAGGGUGUCUAGAUGCUUGUAGUGGUAUUUUUGGAUUAAAAGAAUUGUUCGGAAAAUUAGUUCGCAAGUGUUCAUGCAAAUAAAGACCAAAAAAAUGGUUUUCAAAAAGGAAAAUGAUUUAAUAGGGUAACUAUGUUUCCAAAUUAUUCAAAAAAAUAUCAUUCAUGUUUGGUAUGUUCUAAAAUAUCAUCUAAAUAAAGUUUUUAAAUACAGCAAACUACACAAUUUGUUCAAAUAUUACCUUAAGUAAAGGACAUUUGUAGAUGAUAAGAUAUUACCGAAAAAAAAAUUAAUCGAAGGAAGAAAACAAAGGAAAAUGAAUGGAUGAUGUUUUUUGAAUGAUUUUGACUCUUAAGUCAUUUUUUCAUGUUUUUUUCCCCAGAAAUAUCGGUUACCAUAGGAGGAUGUUUGAAUAAAAUAUGUAGUUUGUUGAUUUUUUUUAUAUAAAAACGUUAUUUAGAUAAUGUUUUUUGAAUAUACAAAACUUUGAAUGAUAUUUUUUAAUGAUUUUAAAAAUAGUUACCUUCUAGGUCAUUUGCCAUUUUCAAAACAGAUUACUUUAUAACUAAAAUCAGCUAAUAUUCUAGGAAAAACUCUAGAGCUUCUCGAAGUAACACAAUCCAUAUCACUCCUGGUGUAACUACCUGACUGAAUCAUAAACAUGGGUUUCUAUUUACUAAUAUGAUGAAAACAAAUAUAAAAAACCAAGAUCGAAUCAUAAUAUUUCCAUUCAUUUAAAUGGACUUGGAAAAGAAUCGAUAAUAUACCAACUUCUAAAUCCUGAAGAAAUGAACAUUCCACUAUAUUUGAGCAUUCCCACUUCCAAGGGUGAGCUCAAGAUCAUCAAAACCGACUUCAUGAAACCUCUCGCCUUUCCAUGCCUUCACCCCUUUACCCUUUUCAGCGAUCGCAUCAUUCAUAGCAGCCACUUGAGCCAUUGAUUUCACAAGAUUGGACGUUGGAGAGUUUGGGUUCACCAUCAUCGGAAUACAAUCCUGGAACCUCAACCUCUGAAACGAACCGCCGGUGGACCAAUCAGGCUCCUCACACUNNNNNNNNNNNNNNNNNNNNNNNNNNNNNNNNNNNNNNNNNNNNNNNNNNNNNNNNNNNNNNNNNNNNNNNNNNNNNNNNNNNNNNNNNNNNNNNNNNNNNNNNNNNNNNNNNNNNNNNNNNNNNNNNNNNNNNNNNNNNNNNNNNNNNNNNNNNNNNNNNNNNNNNNNNNNNNNNNNNNNNNNNNNNNNNNNNNNNNNNNNNNNNNNNNNNNNNNNNNNNNNNNNNNNNNNNNNNNNNNNNNNNNNNNNNNNNNNNNNNNNNNNNNNNNNNNNNNNNNNNNNNNNNNNNNNNNNNNNNNNNNNNNNNNNNNNNNNNNNNNNNNNNNNNNNNNNNNNNNNNNNNNNNNNNNNNNNNNNNNNNNNNNNNNNNNNNNNNNNNNNNNNNNNNNGAACCGCCGGUGGCUGGUUGGACUUGUGGGUACUGAAGAAGCGAAACAUGGUAGAUCAAAAGCUUCCCAAUUGAGAUUGUUUUUCUUCGGAACUUUUGGGGAUGAGAGUGGUGGGGUCACCGGAGCGCUGUUUGAGAUCCGGAGAGGUGGGAGUGAUGACGGAAUUGAGUUGCUUAGAAAAGCAAAAGGUUUAUUUAAUGGCGGAUCUGUAGAAUCGAGAUGCGAUGGGCUGGGGAAGGAAGAAGAUGAGAGGCUGCAUUGGUAUGAAGGGAACGACGAUGACGGUGGACUUGGUUUCCGAGAAGAACACGGAGUCGUGUUUGUUGAUGAGCCACCGUGUUCGAAGGCGGAGGGUGGCGGCUUGCAUCCCUGUAAUUUUGGAUAAAAAUCUGCAUCAUAAAUUUGUAAUAAAGAACUCUACCUUGCUGUUCCAUAAAGAUUUUGAACAACAAAUGGGCAAAUCCACAAUCGGAGAAAGAAAUCCCGAAUUUGAAUUACACCCACUUAUACGCUCAAAUUAAAACCAGGGAAGUUAAAUUAAUGAUACUGGAAAUUCGAUUACAGAGACGGAAUACCAGUUCAUAAACAUCUCGAUCUAAUUAAUCGUCAUAAAUGCAGACAGAUUAUACCUUACGAAAAGUGGUGCCAUCAGGAAGAACAACCCAACCAGCUUCUUUACAAAGAGCUUUUAAGACCUCGUUGUUAUCACAAUGUUUAGGCAAACUAUAAUUUCCUUGUGCCCUCAACCCAUUGUAUAUGUUUGCCGCAAUUGCCCUCCGCCGUCUCUCUCUCCUCCGGUUAUUCUCUUUCUCUCUCCAUGACGGCUUCCUCCUCCCUCCUCCACCCCCGCCGCCGCCGCUGCUACCUUCCUCCGUAACCGCAGAUGACGAUCCUCCUUCCCACAUCAUUUUUCUUUAAACAAAACCCACCUCUCAGAUUCUCUUAUGUGGGAUUUUGUGUUUCAACUGAUGAGAAUGGCGUUGUGAAAUGUGUGAAAUUUCACACACCCACGAUGAAUUCACCAGUCCCCCACCUUCUGUGUGUAUGUGUGUGUCUUUUGACGUAAAAGCGAUCAAAGUCUGAAAGUGGGCAAUAAUCAUGUGUCAAGGAACACGAGGAACUUGAUGGUAUGGGGCAAUGAGAUUCUCAGCGGUCGUUUGAUGGAUCUAUUGAAUGGUUAAGAUUGAAGUUAAAAAGCGGAAAUUUAUUGGACUAUCAUGUGGGUGCACACAUAUGAACAAAUUAAAAGCAAUGAUUGUUCGGAUAACAUGGACGGAAGUCGGAAGAUGUAUCUUUGCAACUUACAUUCUUUGUUUGGUUAUUUUUAUUGUAGCUCAACAAUGUUUUGUAUAUCGUUUUAAAUGGUUCCUCGUGAUUUUAUUUCUUUUUGCGUUUAAAGGGUACGAACUUGUGUCUUACCUGUUAAUUUCGUAUCUUUACCUAUUUUUGAAGGUUACAUUGUCUUUAUCACCUGCCAACUAAGCAGGUGAGUCAACAAUGACUCAUUAGUGAGUCGAUUCAUCGUUGCCACGUAAAUAAAAUCAACUAAGGAGGAAAAGGAUUGCACCUGCCAAAAAUCGGAAGUAAAAUCGAUUGGGGAGGAAAAGGAUUGAUCCUCGUCGUUCCAAGGGGAAAGAACGAUCGCAUAUGUGCGAUCGAUUGAAAAAGCGGGAAAUCAGGGUCUAGAAAUCGAUUAGUCAAAGGGGAACGAUCGUUGAUUGGCGAGAAGGAAGCACGUAGGUGCAUAGUCUGCUACUCCGGAUGCCUUGGCCGAUCGUAUGGUACACUGGGAAGAUUCGUCCCUCUCUCACUGCAAAUCACCAUUGUUAAAGAAGCAUCUCCCAAAACAUCACAGGAAUGGUCUCGAUCAAUGAAAACAAACACCCUCUCUUCCAGCUUCAUUGUCGGACCAGAAAAAAGAAACGAGGAGCUACCGACCACCAUGGCAGCCCCUCCCUUGGUGAACUCAAACAAUCACCGAACACCAAUUCCUUUGUGAGCUGCUCUUACUGCUUGGAUUUCAUCUGUAAUUGUGGCUGCCGACGAUGGAGUCAGGGAAGACCAAGUGGAUCAUCAGAAAAACGGGUUCUUUUUCCCCUCUCACUCUCCUCACGGUCGAUUAAGAACCACCGACCCAUCGAGUUGCUGAUUUCGUUUGUAUUCUUUCUUUCCCUGAUAUGCCUUCUGUUUCCCCUCUUACUCUUCAGUUUGUUCAAGCACAAGAGAUGCUUCCCUCUCCGAUUUCCCCUCCUAUUUGCUCGAUCGAACACCAAAUAACCCACCCUAAUUGUUGUUACUGAUGCUCUUAAUUCCUUCCAAAUUAUUGCUACCAGAGAUGAGAAGGAAACCUCGAAGAAUCUCCCCGGAAAACGACCUCGCCAUCCCCUUCAGUCGAACCCAAAACCGUGGUACAUUUUUUUAACUUUAAACCUGCUGACUAGGAAGGGGUUCACCGGGUGACCCCUUCAUUUUUUAAAAAGGACUUUUUAAACCCUAAAAACAUGAAUUCGUACCCUUUAAAUGCAAAAAAAAAAAGUCAUGAGGGACCAUUUAAAAAAAUAUACGAAACAUUGUUGGGCUACGUUGACAAUAAACCUUUUUUAUUUAAAGGUUAUAGUUAUUUAUUAGUCGAAACUGUAUCUCCUAAAAGAAUAUUGUUUGGGAAAAACUAAUUGAUCGAGUUUAAUGUAUCAUAGCUUAGCUCACAAAUGAUCAAACAAGCAUAGGCUCAAUAUAUCGCAAACUUCAUACAAGAUAAAAUACACUUUUCAAAACCCUUAGCCAAUAUUCUGUUAGAAAACAAUUUUAUUUUAAAGAUAGAGUUCAUGAUUUAACAUAACUAGGAAAGUAUCACCCCCGCGAUGCGGGGGUUAAUUGUUGUUACUUAUGUGUUUUGAUGUUCUCAUAUGAAUGUGUUUAACCGUGUUUCAUCUGAUAUUAGUCAAUCGUCCUGAUUUUUUUUUUGUAAAUUUUUUAUGCUUUUUUAUGUUAUCAUAUUUAUCUUUUUCUAGAAAAUGGGUAUUUUAUUAAUAAAAUGUAAUGCAUAUGAGCGUUUAUGAUUAAAUAUCAAUUUUAUAAAGUUUUUAUAGUUUUUAUGAGAAUAUUAACAUUUUCCAUUUUGUGACAUUAUCAUAUACAAAACCAUAAGAUUUAUAUAUAAUGAUUUAGAAAGGAAAAUACAUAAUUAUAAUUAUCUCAUUUUAAUAAUAUUAACCACUUGCCCAUCAUCAAAUGUGUUUCAAGUAUAGAAAAGAUAUCAAACUAUAAUUUCAAUAAAAAGAAUUACGAAUGAUAAUCAAAAGAAGCCCUAAAUUAUUCGUCUUUAAGGAGACACCCAAAUGAAAAGAGGAUCAAAUUUGUAGAAGAAAUCUGACUUUCAAUCAAAUGGGAGUAAUUACUAUAAAAACAUUAUUUCUGAAACAUAAUUAAUCAAAAUUCAUAAUUCAAAUCUACAAAUUCGACAUGGCAAACUAACACUCGAAUUAAAACAACAUAUAACUCUACUCAAGAGUUUAUUACGUAUGACGACAAUAUAUAUAGAUACCUUUCACCAAUCUAUUUGCCAUAUAUAAUUCAAAAUUGCAUAAACAAUUAUGUCAGGUAAGAGAGACAGGCUAUAAAAGGCUGUCAGGUAAGAACAUACAUUAAUUAUAGAAGAAUUGCAUCAUUAUAUCGGUUAUGAAAUAAUAAUAAGACAAAAUGAACAGGUGAAAAAAUGUCUUAUCUCUCCUUUCUGAAUCAAAAGUGAGCUAAAGAGUUGGAUGACACAGGAAUGGAAGUAUCAGAUUAUGAUAAAUUGAGUUGUCAGUGAUACCACAUCAUUCAUUUACCUGAAAAAAAAAAAACAGCAUAAACUGCAUGAGAACAGAGGAUUUUUUUUUCAAAUAUGUAUGUAUAAAAGAAACAAAAGUUUGAAGAAAAUUUCAUUUAUCACUGCUGAUAUUUCAAUUCAUUUAAUAUUGUAUAAAUAAGAUUAGAAAACAGGUCAUGUGCAUAAAUGUUUUAUAGAAAUAGUCCAUAUUUAAUUAAAAAAAAAACGGUCCAUAUGGAACAAAAACACCAUGAAUUUUCCCUGGAACUGGCAUUUAAUCAAACAUAGGAAACAAAUAAAUCGAAAAAAUACUAACAAUUAAAUGGUAUACAGUCAAACAGAGAACAAUUUAUGAGCACUUAUAUUUUUUUUUGCAUGUAAACACUGGGAUCUUAGAAAUGAUGAAAUGAGAUUUUGCUACCUGUUAUAAUAUAUGUGAAAAUGAGAAAUCAAUAGCGUUUUAGCCUUUAGGUGGUGAAUAAAUGAAAAUAAAUAGUAAGCAAUAGAGAAUUAGUUUUCAAAGAUUAAUUUGUCAUUACCUACAUAUAAGUAGAUUUUGUUGUUCUUCUAGAAAAGCAGACAUCAGAUUUUUUGAAAAUAUAGACCUAUUGUAUGAAACUAUUUAAUAAAGUUUGUUGUUUGUAAGGUUUUAAUGGAAUUAGAUUCAAAAAUCAUAAUUUCUUCUGUAUUAGUUGGAAUACAUGCAUAACCACCAACAUGAAGACUUAUAUAUAUAUAUAUAUAUAUAAACCAAUCCACUUUAACAAAAGGGUAUUUUAGUCUUUCUUGUAAGAUAGAUAGAAAGAGAUUGACCGUAAAAUGGAUAAGAUAUCUUUUGGAUGUGGUGAUCUGACUAAAAUUUGUAUACUCCGACAAAUUUUCACGUUUCUUUGAUUGAUUAACCACGAACUUGACAAUUUAACGAACAUCCCUCGAGACCUAAGGCUUUAUGACAAUAUACUUUUCUUUGUUAAAAGUGUGAACAUAUGAAAAUACUUUCACAAAGACUUGGGGGCUGUUUCGUCUUUACUUAAUAGGUUAACCUAAAAAAAAGAACAUAACUUAAUACAUUCAGACACUAUGCAUUUACUAAUUUUCCUGACUUAUAGUGCAAUGUAUGGGUAAAAUGGUCAUUUAAUCUCAUUAAGACAGUUUAUCGGUCAAGAAAAAAAUGGACCUUAUAUGUAUAUAACAUUUUAUCCACACAUAUAUCACUACCCAUUUGGCGAUCUAUUUUAGGCUUACCUUUCUAGAAGUUAUAUUAGAACUUCAAAACCAUCGUCCGCAUCAAGGGGAGUAAGUUCAAAAACACCUUGACUAAUGAUAGCAGCCAUUUUGACUCCAAAUUUGGACAUUUUUCCAAAAAAUAGAAAUCAAUGAGGUUGUUAUAGUAUUCAAUGCGUUGUGGAUUCGGUUUGCCUGUUCCAUCUGUUAUAACAUGAAAAUACAUGUUAGUUUAUUUGCCACUUUCAAAGAAAUCAACAGUAUACCAUAUUAUCAUAUAUUCAUUAAGGUGGUUAGUAAAUUUACUUAUGAAUAUUCUUCACCGUGAUAUUCAGAAUAUAUAAACAUCAUAUAUCAGAAAAAACCCAUUGAGGCAUUUUGUCAAACACCUUAUAUGCACUGAGCAUCUUUAUAAAGAAAAUACCAUAUUACCAAGUAGAAAAACCAUUUUGUUUUCAUAUGAUGUUUCUAGAUUUAGUCAUGAUCAUUUCAUUCCAAAGUUUUCAUGUACAAAUCAUAUUCUUAUAUAAGUUUCACUACUAGAAAAAAGGCCUUUUACGACGCUCAUUGCGCGUCGUAAAACACUCAGACGACGCGCAAAUGCGUGUCAAGGAAGACCCUGUCAUAAAGAGAGACGACGCGCAUUUACGACGCGCAUUUAUGACGCGCAUUUACGACGCGCGGUUAUGACACGCAAUGCGUAUCAAGGAAGGCCCUGUCAUAAAGGAAGACGACACGCAUUUGCGUGUCGUAACCUUACGACGCGCGUGUUUAUGACACGCAAUGCGUAUCAAGGAAGCCCCUGUCAAGAAAGGCCAUGUCAUAAAUGAAGAUGACACACAUUUUUGCGUAUCAUAAUUUUAAAUGUUUAAAAAAAUAUUAUUUAUAGAUUUGCUUAUUUUCAAAUUAAAUUUGUAUUUAAUGUUUAAUAAUAGAUAAUAAAAUAUCAUAUACAAAAAUAGAAUCCAUUGCAUAAAUUUAAUGUCAUACAAAUAAUCAUUCUAUGGAAAGAUAAAACAAAUUAAUAGAAGUUGUAACAAAAAUUUACAAACAAAUGGUAGCAAAUAUGUUAUCAAAAUUCCUACAUUAAUUAGUGCUAAGCUCUGAUCCUCCGGUUGAAUUCUGCAGUCAGGAAAUGAUUAAGACAAGUACACAUUAUUAUAAAGUUCAUUUAUGAUCCUCAAAUAAAAAAUAAAGCAACUACAUAUAUUAUUGGCCAUGAGAGAAGUAACCUUAUAAUAGAUCUCAAGAAGCACAUUGUUGCGAGCUGCCUGCAGAAAACCAUGGCAGACAUAAAGACAUGAGCAUGAGCUUUGUUGUUGCUUUUAUAAAAAAUGAACUUAUUCUAUAGGUUAUAAGAUAUAGUAUAAAUUUUUAACUUUUAAGCAUUUUAUAGCUAGCAUAAAGUAGAAUUUGGAAUCAUUAAGAAUAUAAUGAGUACUUUGUUGUUGGAAGAAGCCUAACCGUUGCAUAAUAUUUUGACUCAAAAAGGAAAAUGUGGCAAAUUUACCUGUACAAAGCUAGAGACAGAAAGAAGUGGCUUCUCUCCAAUCUUCUGAUUUCUAGCCUGAAAAUUAACAAAGAAUUUAGCAACUUGUAAGGAAUAAGGGAAAAAAGUACUACACUAAGUUCAGAACUUAAAAAUCAAUUAAGAUAACAUGCAAAUAAUGAAAGCAGAAUACCUAAUAACUAGGCCAACAAGUUAGCAUCAUAUAUAUUCAGGUGUAAACAGAUGAAAGAUAAGUUUAGGUCACACAAAAGUUUUCCAAAACAAAAGCAGAAGAUAAAUAUAAUAAAAUUAAGAAAUGAAGAACAUACAUGUAUUAGAAGCAUGACAAGUGCAAAGAUAACUUUUGCAACUUCUGUCAGAAAGUUAACACUGAUGGGGCUAAAAUUGAAUCUCCCAUCAACCUUGGACAUGUACACCAAAAUCGGCUGUAAAAGAUGAUCAAUUUAGUGAGGUAUUGAUCAAUUAUGUAACAUGGAAACAGUACACAACUAACUAUACCUAAAUAUUAUCCGGUCAACGAUGCAUGGAAUUUAAAGAGUUGUUUAUGUUAUGUGAAAGAUAUGUACUAUAAAUAGAUACACAAAACACGUUCUUUAUCUUGUCUUCUGGGAUAAAGAACAUUUUGCCCUUAUUUUGAGUUAUCUAUUAUUCUCUUAUUGUAAUUAUGUAUUAUAUACCCUUGUUCAGAAAUAAGGUUAUUUUGAUCAUUUUUAAAUAUGACCUAAAAUAUUACUCUUGUUCAAAACAUGUUAUUUAAAGCAAGAAUGAAAUUAACCUAAUUUAUCAUGUCACCGAGAUAAAACUAGAGAGAAGAAAUGACGAAAAUACACUUGUGUGCAUAACAAGAGCAGUAUCAACCUAAUUUAUUUUGGGUGGAACGUGAAUAGGGGGUGGACCAGGAAAAGGGUUAGCAUGGGGAUGCGAUUUAAGUUAUGAUUAUGUCAAAAUUAAUUAUGCAACCCCUUUAGGCCCGGACAAUCUUGAUAAAUGUUGGUCAAGCAAAUGCAGCCACUGUAAUUUUUUACUUAAUUUUUUUGUUACCCGUGAUGUAAAAUGACGUAAAUGAACACAAUGAGGUUUACACUUUACAUACAUUGGAAAGGGCAUAUGAGCAGUCUAUUACAUCUUGGUAACCUGCAUCCCCCUGUAAGGGCAUAUACAUCAUUUUACAUCAUGGGUAACAAAAAGUUAAGUAAAAAAUUACCGUGGCUGCAUUUGCUUGACCAGCAUUUAUCAAGACUGCCCGGGCCUAAAGAGGUUGCAUAAUUAAUCUUGACAUAAUCAUAACUUAAAUCACAUCCCCAUGCUAACCCUGUUCCUGGUCCAUCCCCUGUUCACGUUCCACCCAAAAUAAACAAAUAAAUAACACAAGUUUCUUUUUUAUUUAAUGCAGAAAGAAUGACUUAAUAAUAAAGUUACCUAUGGAUAUUUGAAUUUUGACAGUGCCAUGAGCAUCACCAGCCUCUUUCAGGUAAUUACUAGCUGCUGCCCUGGAACACUCCCGCAUUUUCAGUAUUUCAAUUAUCAUGUAUCAUGUAUCAUGUAUGGUGUUACUGUUACCUAUCAAAUGGAAGUGGCUGGCCUCCUUCCAUAAGUAGAAUAUCUCCAAGUGCUAUUCUAAGGGCAUUUGAGUCAAAAAAAAAUCCCCACACACCCUGCAGCACAGGCUAUCCGCCCCCAAUUUGGAUCCCUACCAUAAAUUACCACCUGAUAAAACCAACCAUAAAAAAUCAUCAUUAUAUCAUUGGAAGUAGUUAUUUCACCUUGAAAUAACAACAUAUUAACCAUCAUGCAUUGGUAAGUGAAGAAGAUGCCACUGAACGUGCAAUCUUUGCUGCUUCACUUUCACUCCCUGCACCACUUACUGUCACCUGCAUAAUUUCUCAUUUCCAUAAAUACCCUUCUGCCCUCCCCCCCCCCCCCCAAAAAAAAAAAAAAAAAAAAAAAAAAAAAAAACAGAUCUCUAUCAAACAUGUUGCCCCUUCUCCAUCCUAUGCUAUUGAUUUGGCAAGCCCUUACAUUACCUUAACAAAAAAAAACACUUGUAAAAUGCAUGUAACAACAAAAGGGUAAAUUGGUAAUUUAAACAUACCGCAUCAACCACAUUUGUAGUUGGUUUCCUUCAGAACUGUGUAAUGAUGAUAUCCUGUUUGAUCCAGAUAAACCACUAGCCAAAGCAAUAAUGGUAUCAUUGGUGCUAGUAUCCCCAUCUACCUGCAAUAUUUUAGUUAUUAAUACACACAUGUCACUGUUGGUUAAACGACUAAAAUACCCUUUAAUGAUGCUACUACUUAUAGUAAUUUGGUUGAAACUUCGAUUCACAGCAACCUGAACCAUCUUUCGCUAGAUGUCAGUAUCUACACGAGCAUCAGCCAUUAUAACCUGAAAAUUGACAUUUUUUUUGAAUCAAUUAAAAUUUUUUUACAAAACAUUUUGUGGUAAUAAAUUAAUAAUAUGGCAAUAUUAGUACAUACACCAAGAAGUGUUCCCAUGUUUGGGUGGAUCAUUCCGGAACCUUUUUCCAUUCCUUCGAUUCUUAUACCGCUUCCACCAACCUUAAAAAAAUAACUUUUUUUAAUAAACGAUAAUAAAUGAAAUAAAAAAAAGUAAGCAAAUAAAUAUAAAUAUGAUACCUCAAACUCUACUGCUACACUCUUGCUCACAAUAUCAGCUGUUGUUAUUGCUACAUCUGGUGCAUCUAUCUCCUCUAACCAUGCAUAUUCAUCUUCUUUUCCAUCAAUCAACUCAUCUCCACUUCCUGUCAUUCCAAUAAAGAAUACAACAACCUUUACAAAUUCACAAAAUCAGGUAACAGAUUAUGCUCAACUUACCAAAACUGGAGUAGGGGUAAUCUCGGUAAUAAGUACAUUUUCUUCCAGAAUAUUCUUCAUACAGAGGUGUGAGAAUGUCAAGUACAGCACAAGAGGUUAUGGCAGUGAAGCAAUGGAGGUUCCCUCCUGUUUCUGGAUACAAAACUGAAGUGCUACAUGGUGCUGGCAGGACUUUGUCCACUGACAACUUCGCUAACCUAACUACUACAUGAAUUCCAUCAACACUUUGCAUUUUUGCACUUAAAUUAAAUGUUUUAAAUAUAGGUACAGAGAUGAUUUUUUCUGUAGAGUUAAUUAUGUUUCUAAUCAUUAUGGAAGAACUAGAAUCAGACCUGGAGCUCGAGCAAUUCCCUUUGAAUCCUUGGUGAGUGGUGGUUCAACUCUGUUAUGUAGUAAGUAAGACAUGGAUUAAAUUAUAAAUUCUUGAUCAGUUACUCUCUCAAAUUGAUCAGUUAAUCUCUCAAAUCCUUGAUGAAUCCACUGCCUGGCGGUGUGUGAUUCGAGGCGACGAUGUGAUUAUCUUUCAACAGACGUUUCGACGUCCGAUUGACACGGGUGAGCUUCGGGAUCGACUUCUGGAGAUAUUUUCAAGCAAAGAACCGAUGAAGUAUAGACAAGAAAAGGUUACUUACGUUUACUGAGAUGUGGUUGAAAGCCCUAGUUCUUUUCGUCGAAUUUGUGAAGACAUGACCUGAGAUGGAAGGAUAUGGAAACGGUAGAGAGAGAGAGAGAGAGAGAGAGAGAGAGAAGAAGGCAAGUGAGGAAGGAACGAAGGGGCGUCGAUAACUAGGGUAAGGCGGCAGUCGGGACGGGUAAGGAAGGAGCAUCGAUAAGAUAAUUAGGGCAAGAGGGAAACAACCAUCGAAAUCGACAAUGCCGUCUCUAAAAUUGACCGGAAAGCACCUCCAUUCAUCAUCACCGGCAGAUCCAUCCCAGUCUCCCUUAUUUCCAUCACUUCUCACAAUAGAGAAAAAAGAGGGGAGAGUCGAUGCAAAAAAAAAGGUAGAAAAGAAAGGCGACUUUUCAAAAAUUUAGGGUUUUGUUUUCCCCCGUUAUCUUCUCAAGGCGCGUUUCACUAAAAUUAUAAAGCGACACCGUCAGAAGACGCGCGUUUAACUUAAAGCGCCCUCCGUGUUUUUAAUUUUUUUUAUUGAGACACUAAUUUAAGGGCACGCAAAAAUGCGUGCCCUCUAUCCUUCAAAUUUUGGAAGGCUGACAUUAUUUUUAAGGGCACAUAAAAAUGCGUAUCGUAAAUUAGCGAGUGUCAUUGUUUGCGCGUCAUUAAAGGGUAUUUUUCUUGUAGUGUUUUUAUAUAGAAUUAAAUAUUCAUUAAAAAACUUACCAACUUUUUCCAUCUUCACAAUAUAAAAAAAAGGAAAAAAGAAGAAACAUAUGCUCACCUUAUGUGUAUUAGUGACAACAUAGGAUUCGAUGAAGAGAAGUGUAAUCAAAACUGAUCAUCUGCACUAAAAAUGUAAUUUGCUCAUGGUAAUAACUUAAAGAAAUUCAACCUUAUGAGUUGUUUCAAGACUCAAACCAAUAAAAGACAGUAGUAGUACCUUAAAUGGCUGCCAAUUUAAAAGUAAUUGGCAUUUCAAGGGAAAACGUCUAAUUAACUCCAUUUUUUGAGUGGAUGAAAGAAGAUAACUACAUCAAAUAAUCCAAUACAAGUAAGAGUGAAUAACGUUUUAACCAUUUUAUUCAUAUGAAAUUUUAGUCCAGGUUAAAUAGAUGUGAUAUUACAAGAACGAUAUUAUUAUGAACGUGAUAAUAUAAAAGUAGAACACUUCUAGUCUUCAUAUUACCUCUUACUACCAAAAUAAUCAUUGUACCUAAAAAAAUAUCAUACAAAUAAGGAAUUUAUUUGUAAAAGAGGACAUACCUUGCCAAAUAUACAGACAAUUCAUAAACAACAAGUAAUAUGUCCAAGUAAUUUACUGAUAGAUUGCACUUUGGCGACCAAAACUGAAAUCAACAUGAAUGUGGUCAAAAUAAAGCAAUGAAAGCUAAGCAAUGUAUGAUUUUGUUUUUUUUUUUUUAAUUUCAUGCAAAUAAAGAUUAAUGUAUUAAUAAACCAAAUUUUUACGUACUUGCAUUUCUUCUGCUUGCUGCCCAACUGCUUCCUUCUUUAAAGACAAAAGCAAAUAUUUAAUAGUAUUUAUUAGCACUUAUAGUUAAUUAUUGGCAAUUAAAAAUUUGAAACAGUGUUUGUGAGGGUUACAUUACAUUGAAUCGGUGUUAUUGUAUCUAACAGAAAGGGUGGGUUGUUGAAAUCAAAGAGUCUUGUUUUUCCCUGAUGCAAUGAGGUCUACCCUUCCUAUAAAACAAUAAGAUUGAAUUAAAACUUAAGUAAAAUAAAUAAAUUAAUAAAAGAAUCAAUAUUAAUAUUACAUUAUCAGCAACAUUGACAUCAACUUUGCAUUUGAUGAGCAACUUAACCGUUUGCAUGAGACUCACUUAAAUAGCAUAAUGAAGUGGAAUANACGGACACUACUGCUAAGGGGAUUCCUCAGCAAUAAAUGUCCUAAAGGCAACCAUGUGGGGGAUGGAGUACACCGGUGAACACAUCGUUCACAAACACCUACAGGUUGCGAGCCUGCUAGUGUUCCACUGGACUGUCUAGAAGAGUCCGUGGUCGUCAUCCAUACUCCGCUAGAUGACAGAAUCAACAACAUCAACAUCGAGGCCUCUCAUCAUUUUAUCACACAUCACCUAUUACAUCUACCCAUGUUUUACCCCAACAUUUUCGUAGAUAUAAAAUACAUAUACAGUUUAAAUCAUUGAAAACAUGUAUAACAAUGUUCAUCUAGCAUAGAUAGCAGGUAUUCAGAUAAUAUGCACACAUAGCACGUAAUUUAUAUAAAAUACUUCAUAUCUAUGUGUAAGCUGAAAGUAACUAUGCACUCACCUGAAAGGUGGUGACUCAGCACUCGGACAUCGCUUCGAUACUCUCAAAACAAUUUUCCUUCGAUAAAACCUAGUACCAAUACCACUAGGGUUUAGUCUAACGAUAACCGCGACAAAUUAAUUAGUCUGACUAUUAUCAUUAUUAUAUAAGCAUUAAUAACACUCAAUAUAACUCAUAAUAAUAGCCCAAAUAAUUAUUUCAAGGACCUAAUAACAUUCCUAUAAUUAUUUGAAAGCUAUAUUAAAAAUUGUGUAAGCGUAGCUCACUUAUAGCAGAUUUUAAUGAAAACCGGAACUUUAUUUGGAGCAACGUUUCGAAACCGAAAGGCUCUUUUUCUCGGGACUCCGGGAGCCUCGGGGCUUCCCUCGGGAGCUAGGGGGUUUAUCUAGGGUUUAGGGGUGGUUUGGGGUCUUAGAGAGAGAAAGAAACUAGAGAGAGAAUGGAAUUUGGAGUGAAAAAUGAGUGAAAAGCUUGGACCCUUCGCAUGCCUUUUAUAGGCGCCUGAUCUCGGAAUUACGCUGGGCGUACUCCUUGGAUAAGACUUCCAGCUGGCUUCUCACGUGGACUGACCUCGGAGUGGAUAAGAAGCGAAGGUACGCAGGGCAUAUAGACUUUGGACGUUGGGCGUAAUGCGAGGCAACGUGUCAUCAUCCGAAGCGAGGACCGUGGGCCGCAAGCGACGGCUGUGAUCUUGCCACGUCAUCGAUCCAUGCAUCAGGUUUGCAAAUUCACUUCCCAACUUCUAAAAAUCAUAACUUUCACAUAUGAGCUCCUUUUUCGACGUUCUUUAUAUCCACGCGAAGGUGGGAACGUACUCAACAAUUUUCGUUUAGAUUCCAUCGGCUAAUUUUGACUCGAUUUUAAAUUUUAUAUUAUUAACAGGCUGGGACAGGAUUGGUCCGUUAAUUCCUCAUAUCAUCUUCAUCCGACGUCCAUUUUCGCCCAUCUUUUUCCCAUUACGCUACUCUUAACGAGAUCUUCGAUUCUCGUUUAGGUCGUGUCGGCUAAAAAUCACUCGAUCUAAUAUUCGAAUUUUGGGCUGUUCACUGCUAAUCCGAAACUUCGAAAAAUCAUAACUUCUUCAUACGAAGUCAGAUUUGGGCGUUCUUUUUAUCGAUGUUCUUAGUUUAACAUAUUCUACGAAUUUCGUUUAGAUCUCUAAGGCUAAAUCUCGCUCUAUCAGAAAUUCACUAUUUACGCUUCCCGGUAUCGUGUCGGUUCUGUCGCGAAAUUUCGACGGGUCAUAACUUCUUCGUUAUAACUCGGAUUUCGGUGUUCUUUAUAUCCCCGGAAUCCUUGUUUCGACCACUAAAACAUUAUAUAAAGAUAUCGGGCUUAUCUCACACUUUAAUUUUGGCGCUUAUUUUUAUUCUUUAUUAAUUAUACAUUUAUAAUUACAUAAAUAAACACAUAAACACACAUAAUUCACAUAAUACGCAAAUAUUUCAUCUUUAUUACUUCAAAAAGAGUUACAAUAGUUGACCUAGACUAUUACAUCGACAAAUAUGCUUAGCCCUGAAACCCGAGCGUUACACAAAUAAAGAUUAAUCUUCCUAUUCUAAUAAAAAGAAUAGUUUUAUUUUCCUUUUGGCAUGUGUCAUUAUAUUAGGCCUCAUAACUAAUACAUGUUUUUUUUUGUCAUGUGUCACCUAAUUUUGUCUCCUAAUUAAUACAUGUCACUUAUCAACCUAUUUAUUCUCCAUUUCAAAUUCAAAUUUCAUAUUUUAAAUUUUUCACUCUAAUUAUAUUAAGUUAAUAAUAUUAGAAUAAAAAUUAAAAUAAAAUUAAUACAAAUUAUAAAGUGAUAUGAUUUUACAUAUUUUUGUAAAUCAAUGAUUAUAAUUUUAUAUAACUAAAAAAAUUCUCUUAAUUAAUAAUUUAUUUAAAAUAAGUGAUUAAUAAUUUUGAGAUUUUACUAUUAAAAUUUAAUUAAUUUUGUAACCAUGGUUCCCACGGGUUAUAAACUAGUGUAUUAAUAAACCAAAUUUUUACGUACUUGUAUUUCUUCUUCUUGCUGCCCAACUCCUUCCUUCUUUAAAGAAAAAAGCAAAUAUUUAAUAGUAUUUAUUAGCACUUAUAGUUAAUUGUUGGCAGUUAAAAAUGUCAAACAGUGUCUAUGAGGGUUACAUUACAUUGAAUCGGUGUUAUUGUAUCUAACAGAAAGAGUGGGCUGUUGAAAUCAAAGAGUCCUGUUUUUCCCGGAUGCAAUGGGGUCUAUACCCUUCCUAUAAAACAAUAAGAUUGAAUUAAAACUUAAGUAAAAUAAAUAAAUUAAUAAAAGAAUCAAUAUUAAUAUUACAUUAUCAGCAACAUUGACAUCAACUUUGCAUUUGAUGAGCAACUUAACCGUUUGCAUGAGACUCACUUAAAUAGCAUAAUGAAGUGGAAUAGCACCAUCCUAUGACAAGGGCAUUUUAGUAAUUUUGAGAAAAAAUAAAAGAAAGGAAUAAUGACAUGGAAAAUGGAGUUUGAAUGAGAAGGGUGGGUCUCACCAGACAUGAGGAGUUGCAAAAACACAUACUCUUUUUUUUUUAAAAGUGAUAUAUGAGGUUGUAAGCAUUAGAGAACUCUUUUGGACAAAUGUCAACCACUUUUCGUAAUUGAGUUUGACCCAUAUCAUUUUUAGAUAAGUUAUUUUAAAUUCCAGUAAAUUGCUGAUUUGGAACCAUUAUAUAUAAAAACAAUACCUUAUCAACAACAUCAAUCUCAAAUCCAUUUUGUAAAAGGUUAUCCAUGAAUUUAAUCUGCAUCUGAAUCUCUGAAGCAAUGGGGUUAGUAAAACUAAAAUACCAAGAAUAUUAACAAUAUUAACAGUAUAUUUGCUUACUAAUAAAUCAUCAAGUUUCAGUCACAUUAACAAAGAAAAUCUUCAUAUAAGUAUGACGUUUGUAAGUUGUAAGGAAGGCUAAGUUGUACCUUAUAUCAUUUCAUAAAGAAGUCUAACUAACCUUCACACUUACAUUAUAUCAAACAGUUGGUGUGUGUAAAUUGGAAGUAAAAAGAAACACGAAACUAAACUGCAAACAAAGUUGGGCCAAACCGUAACCUUUUCUUGUCAUCUCAGUGCGAAAAGAUGUCAAAAACUUUUUGUCAAUUGUAUCUGCAACUUUCACCCAUGUGAAUCUAUUGUUACUCCUAAUCGAACAUCUUCCUGUAAUCGCAGUGCUUACCUGUACAAAAAAUAAAAUCAACAAAAUAAGAUCAUUGAUCUUGAAUGAAGAAAGACGAAUGAAGUUGUCGAUUUAGGAGGUUCGGGAGAUGUUGAGAGUUGGAACGCAGGAACAGAGUGGUUUGCCACUUAUUUCAAUCGGUGGAACAGUUGGAGGCCAAACAACAGAAAUUCUAGACACAUAUACCCACACAUAGGAAAGGAAGCGGGGGUAUAGUUGCUUUCCUAUGGAACCGACUUUCGGCGAGAGAGAAGAAAGUAUGUAUCAAAUUGGGAAUAAAAAGACGGUAGUCAAUGGCGGUGGAAAAUUUUAUCACGCCAAUCAAUGACGGUGGAGAAUUUUAUUGGAGGAAAGGAGCGGCAGCGAGUCACAAAUGCAAAGAAACAAACAUAGUGUCAAAAGUCUAAAAAUAGAAAUGUUAGGUGGCCAAAAUGUUAAAGAGAGUAGGUAAAAAUGGAAAACUUUAGUGGAAAAUUUUCAAAUGGGCAAACUAUACUGUACUUAAGGCUCUCGGGAAUUAAGUAUAUAUAUAAUUACUCGCAUUGCACUUAAGAGUAAAAGACAAGUAAAAAAUAUGCCAAACACAAAGUAUGCAUAUGAAUGUUUAUCCGUGGGUGGAAACUCUCCACAAUUGCAUAGUCUAUUCUUCCAUGAACCCAUCUAAGAUAUAGAAGGAAUAUAGGACACCUACAUAACCAUAAUAAGAAAUAUACUUAAUACUAAUCACUAAGUGAUAUGCAAAUUAGGUUACUACACUUAAUUAAUUAUUCUUAAACAUGUUUUACUUAUCCCUAAGGCAAUAAUGGAUGUGAUUAGAUGCCUUCUUAAGGCCCAAAGAUCAAAUUAUAAGUCUUUUAGGUUUGGAACUUGUGGUAAUUAUCCAGAUCUAUUAUCCAUUCGAACUUGCGGUAAACAUUAAAAUUCCUCAUGCUACAUUGUUUCUUCCUAAUAAUGAAAGUUAUAAUUUGUUUAAUUGAAAUGAAUGUAAAUAUCUCAACUUAUUGGUUAUUAUUUUACAGUUCUAGGAGGUGUAAUGUUAAAGCAAACAAUUGCAGACCCUAAAAGAGAAUCAUGGUAAGAUUUUCUAUCUUACAAGAUUUAGUAAGUGCAAAUAGGGUAAUUGUUGUCAUCUAGUUUGGAAUGACGGUGAUUUCUUGUCGCUCACUCCACCCUAAGAAACUUAACCUAAGAUACUAAAACACAUACAUAAUGUAUAACCACACAUAAACUAAAUGUUUUAGGCUAUGUUUGGCGUACUAGCUGAAAAGUUGGUUGUUAGCUGAAAAGCUAGUUGUUAAAUAAAAAUCUAGCUGAUAGCUGAAAUAAAAAAUAACGUUGGGUAAAACUAGUUGAAAUAUAUAAAAUUACAUAAAAGGACAUGUAAGAAUAUGUGUUUGUAUAAUUAAUUAAGGGGUGUAUUUGGAAAAUUUAAAAAAGCUCCUAAGAAGCUAGUCUAAGUAACUUUUCAAAAAACUAGCUUAUAAGCUACUUUUUGGCUUACCAAAUACGAAAACAUAAAAAAACUCAAAAAAUAAACUAGCUUAUCAGCUAGCUGUGGCACGCCAAACAUAACCUUACUGUUAAAUCUUACCUUGAAAUGGAAGUGAAAACCUCUUAAAGCUGGUGAAUUUGACUCGUGAAAACUCCAAAUUACUACUACUGUUUGCGGUCAACUUCCUGUUGUUUGUUUAUUGACGAGUCCGAUAUGAAAAUAGGGUAAUCGUUUUGAUAGGUAUUAGCAAAGAUGGCUAGUGUUUAUGGAGAGAGCUUAAUAUUAAAAUCGUCUGUCUUUGUAACAUUUGGACUUAAAAUGAUUCCAACAAUUUAGGAGAGGGACAAUAAGGUUUUUUUUCUCUACUUAUAAUGAUUUUAAAUAUAAAAAAAUAUAAAAAAUAUAUUUAAAAAUGUUUUUUAAAGGAAAAUUUGAUAUUUUGAAAGCUUAAUCAAUGUAAGUAUGAAAUUUAUAAAUUUGAUUGGAACAAAUACGAUAUUUUGAUAUUUAAUAAGGAUAUAUAUAAAAUUUCUCUUAAAAUAAUUAUCUUACUUUUGUAAGGACCGAAAUGUAGUUUUUCAAAGUUUAGAGACAAAAGAAAACCUUUCGUUUAAAUAUUUGUCUAAACUAGCAGGAUCAUGACAUGUAUGUAUCGGAGAUGAUUUUUAAUCUUAUUUUUUCAUACCAUUUAUGUAAUGCUGUCAUAUAUAUUUAUGUAAUUUUUCUAUUAGGCUAUAGGAAGUGAGAGAUGUUAAAGGAUGUGUUAAGGUCCUAAGGAUGCUACACUACUCACUACCUUGCAAUAAAGAGAGUGCUAAGACGGAAUUGUUAUGGAUGCGAGAGAGGAGUGAGAAAAUAUGAAAAGUUGUUGUGAUUGGUUGAUUUGUAUUUUUUUAUAUAUUUUAAUUUUUUUUCUCCAAAAUUAAACCUAUUAAAUUGUUACACUUCCAUUCCCUACAUUUUUUGUGUUACUACUCUCUCCAGGCUUAUAGCGACAACAUUAUUGUUAGGUUGUUUUACACCAAAGACCAUUUAUGUAAUUUUGCUAUUACACAGGGACAAAUUCUAAUAACUUUGUUUUAUACAUGGGCCAUUCCUGUAGUUUUAUUUUACACAAGAACAAUUUUUGUAAUUUCACUAUUAGACAUGGACUAUUUCUAUAAUUUUGUCAUACUUAAGGACCAUUAUAUAUAUUUUUUACAACAUGGACCAUUUAUAUAAUUUUCUCAUACCCAAAUUUCUCCUUUACCUUGAACAAUCUAAUCAUUUCCCCUGUAAUAAACACAAAAUAACUAAAUAAAAUACAUUAAAAUUUAGAAUCUAACGUUUUUGAUAUGUAAAUACACCAAGAAUCAAGAGUUUGGCCACAGAAAAGAACAUGAAUAUUAGUCAAUCAGUAAAACCAAAGUUUCUAGAGUAUACAUGUAAUACAACAAGCGUACUAUCAUAAUAAGUAGGGCACAGAAAUGAGUUACAAUUUUUUCAAGAGCAAAGACUGAUUCACAAAAGCAUCACUUACCAGCUAAACAAGUAAAAUUAAAACGACUUCUGCAGAAAGAAAGUCAAAGAAAUUUUGUUAAAAAAACAAAAUGCAUGAAUUUUAGGAUAAAAUUAGUGAAAGUGUUGACAACGAAUUUACGUGUAAUUGUUGUUGUAUGAUGCAUAAGAACACAUAGAAGAUAAGCUGUUCAAGGGAAAUCGGUAGAGUGUUUGAGAUCGAUGGCAUAUGUAGAAGAGAGUUAUUAAAGCGAAUCUAAAAGAGAAAGUUGAAAAGUUUGCUUUCUGAAAAAGUUGUAUCAAAACAUAUUUAGGGUGUGGAUCUAGAAAAGAGUAAUAAAAAGAAGUUAUAAUAUCAAUCAUCAAUUUAUUGUAUAAAAUAUCUGUUCUGACUUUUUAUAAAUAAAAGUUUGUUACAGUUGUUAAACUCCAGUUCCUGAGUUUAUAUAAAUGGUAGAUGAACUGGAAAAGGGUAUAUAAAAAAGGUGAUAUAUGCAAGGGCGCUUUGAUAAUUUGUUUCAGGCCGAAAAAAGAGUUAAACGCCGUUGCCGGGGAUCGAACCCGGGUCACCCGCGUGACAGGCGGGAAUACUUACCACUAUACUACAACGACCUAUUUGCUAAUCGUCUAUAGUUAUCGAUAAUUAUUUAUUACCUAACAUAUUAACAAACAUUUUAUACAAUUGAUCAGUAUUUUAUUUUCCUUAUAAUAUUAAGUCAAACGUUAUGCAUUCUGAAGUAAUAAAUUGAGUAUUAUGAGUAGGGAUGUAAGCGAGCUUUGAUUUAUUUAAUUAUACACAUAAAUAUCAUGGUUGGUUAAAAGAUAUGUGGUUUUUAUAUAUUUUCUUAAACGUUACUCCAAAUUACAAUUAUACCAAAAUUGUUUAUUAAUUCCAGUGUACCUUUUCGGAACGAUCUCAAAUCUGGUUGAGGUAGAUAAGUUUAGACACUGAAAUACUGAAUGCUCAUAUUAGAGCAUCAAUAUACCUAAAUACUUAACAAGUUUUUUGUAAUUUUAUUAAUAUUUUAUAAAACUUACUUAUGCAUGUUACUAGCAUAAAUAUAUAGAAUGAAUGUAAAACUAUCUUCAUCACCAACUUAAUCCAAUACAAUCUUCUAUUUAAAAUGACUUGUAAUUUCCAUGUAAGCUAAAAAAUGAAUUGAUAAAUCAAUGACAUUUCUUUUAAAGCCACUUAGGCUAGGUCACUAUGAACCGAAUGCGCAUUAGUGUUUCAUUCUUGAAUUCCAUUUAAUAUUAUGGAGAAUUUCAUAUAUGCCUUUGCUUAACAUCUAAAUAUCGUAUAUGUCCGACCUAAAUUUUAAAUAUCGUAUUUACCCUUCUUAAUGUUUUUUUAAUAUGAUACAUAGCCAAUUGUAUUUUUUAGAUAAUUUUUAUUGAUUUAAAAUUCUUUCUUAUAAUCUUAAAUCAUUAUAAUUAAAAAUACAUUUUGAAUGGACAAUAUUGCCCUUGGUGCUUACUACUUCAGAUCAUGUUGCCCAGUCGAUCACACCUUGUUACGAUCAACCUGUUGAUACUUCCAAUCGCUGCUUCUACCCCUGUGUCGCACACGCUCACACAUCAGGUAAAUAAAAUGUGACUAUUCCUAAUUUCCCUUUCUUCAAUUUCGUGUGAUAUUCUUUGAUUUGUUCAUGUUAAUGUGUUGUUGACGUCAAAGCAUUGUACAUUCAAUUACAUCACCAAUAUAAGCUUGAAUUUUUAGUAACAAAACCAACCAAAGCUCCAUAACAUCAAAAGUAAAACAUAACAGCAAUGAAUUGAAACUGUUGAAGGGUAAUCUAGGCAGUAAGUUUCUUGCAUUAAUUCAUAUUGAUCCAACAGAAACAAACAUUAGAAUUGAACUUUCACAAGCAAACCCGAAUUAUACAUCUACUCUCAAGAAUAGCCAGUACCAAAACCAAAACAUUUUGAAGAUGAGAACUAAAAUUCCAAAUCGAUUUACCCCAAAAAAUCCAAACAAUUUACCCCAAAAAUCAGAAUCGAUUAACCCCAAAUAUCACUUUCAGAUGAACAAUUUCAAACAAGCAAAAUCGAUUUACCCCUCAAUCAAUGCUAUGAACGAAGAACAUUUGCACCAGAAUGAAGAGUGUGUGCGUCGGAUGUGUGUAGAAGGCGUCAACCAGAUCAGAAGGGGGAAUAUGAGGCUGCAUGUAAGUUUUAAGAGGUUGCGAUUGGGAAGAAGCCACGUGCGAGUGUGUGCGACACCGAGGGGAGAAGCAGCGAUCGGAAUUCAGAAGUAUCAAAGGAGCAUGGUCGAUUGUGAUGGACUGGGCAACGUGAUCUGAGGUAGUAAGCACCAAGGGCAAUAUUGUCCAUUCAAAAUGUCUUUUUAAUUAUAAUUAUUUAAGAUUAUAAAAAAGAAUUAUAAAUCAAUAAAAAUUAUCAAAAAAAUACAUUUGGGUAUAUAUGAUAUUAAAAAACAUUGAGAAGGAUAAAUACGAUAUUUAAAGCUUAGGUCAGGCAUAUACGUUGUUUAGAUGUUUAGCAAGGAUAUAUAUAAAAUUCUACCUUAAUAUUAUCUUAAUCAACAAUUCAAAUUUUUGAAAAAACUUCUUGGUAGAUUUGGCAAAAGCAGUCUUGCGGUCUCAUUGCCUACUAAAAACCGCAUCAGGAUGACCAAGAAUCAUGUAGGCACAUACUAUAUUCUCACUUGGUACCUUGAUAAACUGCAAAGACAAAUGAUACCCCGAUGAUAUAUUUGGAGAGUGUUUGAUUGGUUUGAUAAAUCAAAACCUUGAGUAAACAACAACAAUGGAGGCUAGUAAAAAAUUUCAGUCAAAUUUAGAUUAUAUUCAAUCAAAGCCUUGAAAAAUAAACAACCAGGUAUUGCAGGAUAUUGAAUGAAUAAUGUAAGGGAAUAUACAAAGAGAAUGAAUAUUGUUGAAAGUAAUAAAGGUUCAAUCUCAUAUUUAUUAACUUAAAAUGUCAGGUUUUGAUAAUAAGGGGUGAAAGUUGGUCAAGAUAUAUUUUGUUGGGUGUUAAGUGAAAUUGCAGGGAAAACACGCGAGUCAGAAGAUGGAUCGGUUUUACGGGUUUGCUCCAUAUCCAAGUAUCCGUAGUAUAUAUGCUAAGGAAGAGUCCUAUUCAUCAGAUCUUAUCACUUCCAGAUCCAGAGAUAGGGUUUCUUGUUUAGGGUUUUCAUCUAAUACUCUCGUUUCUUUUUGAUAUUGUUUUGUUCAUCUGUUAUGUUAAUGAGUUAUUGUUCUAUUGUGUUAAGUAUAGUGUUUCAGAUGAAUAGAUUUGUAUUGACUGUUUAGAUUAGGGUUGAGUGAUAAAUCGAGAGAGUAGAAUAGGUUCUUUGUAGUGAGGUUUCGUUUGUAAGUUUGUGAAAACCUUCUGUUUCUUAAUCCUUAAAUGAUAUAAGAAAUGAAGAUGUUGGGAAAUCUAUAUUGUCUAUUUUCAACAAAUAUGAAUAUGGGAUAAUGACAUAUAUGAUUCUUGAUUGAUAAAUGCAAACUGAUUACAUGGAAUGACACUCCUAUUUAUACUAUUUAGGUGCAUAACGGACAAAUGAGACAACAAGGACAAAUACAGACUACAUAGCAACCGCCUGACAAUGCGUCGCUGUUGAUCUUGUCUCCAACAACUAUUACAUAGAACAAGAAAAAUAAAACAAGAAAAAAUAGUACAAGUCUUCAUUUCACCUGACAUUCUCAUUCCUUCGGAAUACUCAACACCUCGGACACACUUGAACUCUGGAUACAUAUCAAUCUCGGAUAGUUUAAGGGCCACUUUAUUGAACUUACAACAACCUUAAAGGUGAAGCUACAUGUUUAAGAAGGUGAUCAGUGUCAUAUUGUCCUCUUGACCAUGGAAAUUAAUGCUAGAUGAUGUGUCGUUUAUGGUUUUGUAACUAAUCUCCAUCCUAAAAAGUAAAGAUUUUGUAGUCUGAAGUGUAGAGGGUGUUUCAAUAAGAAGUGGAAUUUCAAAGAUGUGUACAAUGUAAUUAUGCAACAACAUAUACCUAUCUUUAGCAUUUAUAUUUGUUUUUUAUUCAACUGUAACAACCCUCUCCGACACGUAUCACAAUAUUUUCCGCUUUGGGUUCCCGAUACGAAAACUUCCCAGGGGGUCACCCAUCUAGGAAUUGUUCUCGCCCGGUCAUGCUUAACCACAUAGUUCUUAUGAGAUAUGCUGUGACAUCCCUAAUUUCACGAUAAAAAAGGACCGAUUUGUUUAUGCUUUGUUUUUAAAAUUAGAGUAAUCGUUUAAAGAAAACUAUUGCGGAAUUUGUUCCCAAAACAAAAUAUGAUAAAAUUUUAUCAAAGCAUUUCUUAAAGAAAAGUAUUUUCAUUAUAUAACAAAAUCUCGGGAUGUCAUGUUCCGAUACAGACACAUAAGCAUAAACAGAACUUACAUUUAUUUACACUAAUGAUUUACAUAUCCUUUAAUCCCUCAGUGAAAUAUGUCUUCGUAUUGAUACCCGUGAUACAAAGAUAACUGAGUGGGUCAGGCUUGGUGUCACACCUCAAAACCAUAGAACGGCGGAAACGUUCUGGGGCGGAGGACGUAAUGUACAGUAUCACAACAGUGAAUAGUAGUAAACAAGUAACAACAUCAUCCAUUGUAUUAAUAGUAUAAUUGUAAUACAAGAGUGUUCUUUCAUUGCAACAAGACACCAAAAUAUGUAAUCAAAAUAAAGACAAGUCUUGUUUGUGCUUCGUCUUCUCAAAACCUAGUCAUCGUACCUGUCUACUGGUGACCUGAGAAUGCAAGUUGUUUUGAAAGAGUUUACCAGCUUUAAAGCUGGUGAGAUCAUAAGUAUUUUAGUGUAUGGAUUUGUAAGAAUGUAUUUGUAAGAAUGUAUUUGUAAGUAUGUGAAGUAUAAGUAUGUAAAAGUUUUGAAACUCCUAGAAAACCCUAUGUUUCCUACUAAAAGUAGCCUUCUACCAAGGCAUCUAGUAUAUGUGUGUGUCUCUUGUAAGAGUGUGUAUUUUUCAAAAUCUGACUAUCAUUUAUCAAAAAUAUAGUUUUCGCAUUUCUGUAUAUUGUGUGAAACUCACAUGGUGAAUGCACUUGGAAAAUGAUAUAGUAAUGUAGUAUUGUAAUAAGUAACUACCACUGUACUAACUACCUUAAACUAAUUAUAAUUUAAAGUACCAUGUGAUUGGCAUGUAUCCUGCUACCGACUAUAGUACACGACAAUGUAAGAUGUCGGAGAAAAAUGACAUUUGGCACCCGUAGACUUACAAGUCCCACUGUAGCGAGCAGCAAGGUGUAGAAUAGUCAAUCCAGUAUAGAUCUAUACACAAACUCAUACGCUCCCCAAUUAAGGAGAUUCUGGAUACAAAAACGGUCAUGGAAGGUAGUGCCAUGCCCCAUUUAAUGGCUCACAUAACUGUAGUAAUGUAUAUGUAAUGUAUGCUAGUUGUAUUGUAUGUUCUCCCUCUGUCUAGCCUGUAUGUUCUCUCUGUAUAGUAUUGUAAUGUACUGUGUGUACUAGCUGUAAUGUGUGUUCUCUCUCUAUCUAGCAUGUAUAGUAAUCUACUGUGUGUACUAGCUGUAAUGUUUGCUCUCUCUCUCUCUCUCUCUCUCUCUCUCUCUCUCUCUCUCUCUCUACUAAANNNNNNNNNNNNNNNNNNNNNNNNNNNNNNNNNNNNNNNNNNNNNNNNNNNNNNNNNNNNNNNNNNNNNNNNNNNNNNNNNNNNNNNNNNNNNNNNNNNNNNNNNNNNNNNNGAGGGAGCAGAGACAUUUUGUGCUUUUGAAGGUUUUGAAGGAGGAAGGAAGUAGAUCCAGAAGAAGGGAAGCCAUCCAGGCAUUAUUGUGUUCUUCCAGCAGUUCCUUUGAGGUAUAGCCCGUUUCCCCUAUGAUUCUAUGCUUAGUACUUCAUUUAGGUCUUUCUUGGACAAUCCCCAAGCUUAUAUGUGCAUUAUAUGUCGUAAUAAGAUGUUUGGCCUCUGGAUCUAGGCAAGAUUGAGCUCCAGGAGCUCAGAUCUGUUAGCUUUAUGGCCCCAUGUUGCUUGUUCACCCUAGAUCUACCCUUUUGAGACAUUUUGAGCCCUAAAAUCCAUAUUGGUGAAUAUCCACANNNNNNNNNNNNNNNNNNNNNNNNNNNNNNNNNNNNNNNNNNNNNNNNNNNNNNNNNNNNNNNNNNNNNNNNNNNNNNNNNNNNNNNNNNNNNNNNNNNNNNNNNNNNNNNNNNNNNNNNNNNNNNNNNNNNNNNNNNNNNNNNNNNNNNNNNNNNNNNNNNNNNNNNNNNNNNNNNNNNNNNNNNNNNNNNNNNNNNNNNNNNNNNNNNNNNNNNNNNNNNNNNNNNNNNNNNNNNNNNNNNNNNNNNNNNNNNNNNNNNNNNNNNNNNNNNNNNNNNNNNNNNNNNNNNNNNNNNNNNNNNNNNNNNNNNNNNNNNNNNNNNNNNNNNNNNNNNNNNNNNNNNNNNNNNNNNNNNNNNNNNNNNNNNNNNNNNNNNNNNNNNNNNNNNNNNNNNNNNNNNNNNNNNNNNNNNNNNNNNNNNNNNNNNNNNNNNNNNNNNNNNNNNNNNNNNNNNNNNNNNNNNNNNNNNNNNNNNNNNNNNNNNNNNNNNNNNNNNNNNNNNNNNNNNNNNNNNNNNNNNNNNNNNNNNNNNNNNNNNNNNNNNNNNNNNNNNNNNNNNNNNNNNNNNNNNNNNNNNNNNNNNNNNNNNNNNNNNNNNNNNNNNNNNNNNNNNNNNNNNNNNNNNNNNNNNNNNNNNNNNNNNNNNNNNNNNNNNNNNNNNNNNNNNNNNNNNNNNNNNNNNNNNNNNNNNNNNNNNNNNNNNNNNNNNNNNNNNNNNNNNNNNNNNNNNNNNNNNNNNNNNNNNNNNNNNNNNNNNNNNNNNNNNNNNNNNNNNNNNNNNNNNNNNNNNNNNNNNNNNNNNNNNNNNNNNNNNNNNNNNNNNNNNNNNNNNNNNNNNNNNNNNNNNNNNNNNNNNNNNNNNNNNNNNNNNNNNNNNNNNNNNNNNNNNNNNNNNNNNNNNNNNNNNNNNNNNNNNNNNNNNNNNNNNNNNNNNNNNNNNNNNNNNNNNNNNNNNNNNNNNNNNNNNNNNNNNNNNNNNNNNNNNNNNNNNNNNNNNNNNNNNNNNNNNNNNNNNNNNNNNNNNNNNNNNNNNNNNNNNNNNNNNNNNNNNNNNNNNNNNNNNNNNNNNNNNNNNNNNNNNNNNNNNNNNNNNNNNNNNNNNNNNNNNNNNNNNNNNNNNNNNNNNNNNNNNNNNNNNNNNNNNNNNNNNNNNNNNNNNNNNNNNNNNNNNNNNNNNNNNNNNNNNNNNNNNNNNNNNNNNNNNNNNNNNNNNNNNNNNNNNNNNNNNNNNNNNNNNNNNNNNNNNNNNNNNNNNNNNNNNNNNNNNNNNNNNNNNNNNNNNNNNNNNNNNNNNNNNNNNNNNNNNNNNNNNNNNNNNNNNNNNNNNNNNNNNNNNNNNNNNNNNNNNNNNNNNNNNNNNNNNNNNCCCCAGAACGGCCGUACCGGGUAGUCAGGCACCCCAGAAUAGCCUGGCAGUAUGUAUGUUAUGUGUUUGUUUGGUAUGUGGUACGAUGGGGGAACUCACUAAGCUUUGUGCUUACGGUUUUCAGUUUUGGUUUCAGGUACCUCCUCAGCUAGGGGAAAGGAGCCGGCGCGGUAGCAGCAUGUCACACACACACUCUCCGGUUUCCGCAUUUACGAGCUUCACUGGGAUUUGUACUCUGAUAUUUUGAUUGAGUGUAUGAAUUGGCUUUUAGACAUGGUUCACUUUGUGUUAUGGUUUGAUCAAACAAUGUUUUUAGUUAUCAAUAUUUUCUAAAGUAAUGUUUUAAAACAAAAAUUUUGGUCGUGAAAAUUGGGUCGUUACAAAUGUGCUAGCUGUAAUGUAUGUUCUCCCUCUGUCUAGCAUGUAUUGUAAUGUACUGUGCGUGCUAGCUGUAUUGUGUGUUCUCUUCCUAUCUAACAAGUAUUGACUCAUGUAUGAACUGACUCUUUGUAUGAUUCAUUGUUCUAGUAAUAGUAUUAGUAACUUCCUAAACUACGCCCAUCGUAGUUUACCAGUAAUAUGACUUGUAUGUAUGAACAUGAAUGUAUACCCUUGCUACCCAAGGGUAUUGAAUUGAAUGAUAGAACUUUUAUGUCUAUAUAUGUAUACAUAAUAUAUAACUAAUAUUUAGACGACCUUCGGACGAAUAACCGAUGCCCUAAAGCCACAUCCCAACGAGGAAAAGGAGAUAAAGCGAGCUAGUCUUCCUAAGUCCUUUAGGCAUUACUUAUGUAACUAUACAUACGUAGGCAUGCAUUCGACAAUAUAAAAGUAUAAAAAGAGUUUAAGUAAAAGUAUUUGACAAGCAAAAGAGUUUGUAAAAUAGUUUGAAGCAAAACAGUUUGAUAACACAGUUUGAAAAGUAAGAAAACCACUUGUUUGAUAGUUAUUAAUCACAUGUGAUCGAUAUAAUAACUAUAAUUGUUCAACUUGUAUCCCCCCCCCCAUAAAAGUAUUUAAAAACAUUUAAAAGGUUAAAUAAGGGGUAUGAACUCACUUGUAGUGAGUGGUUUGGAUGAACAGAUUGUAUAGAAUUGCUAAGUGCCAAGUGAAGACUUGAGCACACACGCGGAUCCUAUUUAACAUAUAAUGAUACAUAUAUGAAUAUAAUUAGUGCUAAUAACAACUAAUUAUUGAAUUUAAACCACCUUAGGGGCUAGUAAACACUUAUUUAGAAGUUUUACAACCAUAUAUGAUUGUAUAUAAGGGGUAUUUGGCUAUACAAGGGAGUGUAUGGUCAAAAUACACACUAUUUGUGUGUGUGUGGCCAGGGGGGGUGUGCGGCCGCACACUCCCUAUGGAAUGUGUCAAAACGUAAUUUAAGGCUUUAGGACCCAUCUAGGAAGGUUUCUUACUUCAUGCUUUAGCCUUAUAUGAAGUUUAUUACCGGUUUUGGACCUAAAAAGGGUGUGUGCGGCCAGCAUGAUGUGUGCGGCCGCACACCCUUUAUGAACAUGAUAAAAUCAUGUUUUUCUAGCAUAUCAUCAAGUGUUCUUAGCAUAUAACAAGUUAUGAUAAGUGUAUACACGUUAUAGAGGCUUGUAAGGGUGAUUUAAGGUCCAAAACUAGUGUGUGUUCUUGGUGUUCUUCGUGUUCUUGACUAAAAAUGGAUGUUUUCAAGGAUCAAACCAAAGGAAAAGGCUAGUUAAGGUCUUUUAUUAGCUAAACUAAGAAGGAAUCACUCACUCGAUUGAAGAUUGGAGUGAAACUUUGGAUGAUACUUGAGAGAAAACGUGUUCUAGCUUUGAAGAAGUGAAAAAGUGAUAAAAAAUGACAAGUGUAGUAUAUAUAUGGGAGAGUGUGCGGCUGGGGAUGGGGGUGCGGCCGCACACACCUUGUUUGGUGUGUUUGGCCCGAUUUUGUGAUGCUACACACUUACUAACCCAUUCUACGACUCAUAUCUUAAUUAUACUAAGUCUCAAGCACUCUUAUAGACCCAAAACUUCAUUAUAAACCAGCAAAACGAGGCUAACUUAGAUAAAAAUGAAGAAUGUAUAAGUGAGAAAUUUCGGGUUGUCACAUAGGGAGCCUGGUGAGCAUAUAGGGUUUUCAACCCACAAUAAUACAUUUAUUAUUCAAUCAUCAAACAAUCAACCCAAAUACCCAUCCCCAUAUCUCCUUUAUUUCUUAAGGGUUUACCCUAAGAACCAAUUAUCCUUCAUUUAUUCAUUCCUAAGGAUUUACCUAAGGAAUUGGCACAAAGUCCAUUGCUACCAAAGUUUAUCUAUCAAAUACUAAAUCCAUAGCUAUCAGGUGCUAACUCUAUAGUCACCAAGGUUUACUCAACAGAUACGAAGUCACAUCAUCACCAAGGUUUAUCAAAUAGGCAUGAAGUCGCAUCGUCACCAAAGCUUACUCAAUAGGCACGAAGUCGCAUCGUCACCAAGGCAUACUCAAUAGGCAUGAAGUCACAUCUGAUGGGUUUUGGCCAUAUGAACAUUCCUAUGUGCACAUGCAAACCCUAAUGCUUGGAUCUAGGUUUCUCUAAUUAAACAUGCUUUGAAUCCAAGACUUCUAAUGACUAAUUAGGUAUAAGAACAAUACAAAAUCAGAUCUAGAAGUUUACCUUUGAAUCUCUUGUUUGAUCUUGUUGUCUUGGAGCUCUAGAGUCACAAUUGUCACUCCUCUAAUGGCUUACAAACACCAACUAGCAAGGAGGAUGAUUUGAGAUAGAGGAGAGGGAUUAGAAUUCGGCCAGGGUUUCUUUGCUUUAGCAGAGGUGCCGAUUUCCCUUGCCCUAGGGGUCUAUUUAUACUUAUAAGACUCCUGGGUUUCACCCUUAAACCCUAGUUAAAUAAUCUUUCCUUAAAACAAUCCAAAUCCUUACCAAAGAUAAGCCUUGGACGAAUUUGAGGCUAUCCCAAGCCCUAGAAUUCGUCCAACCUCUAUCCCUUAAGGAUUUACAGCCCAAAGUGCAACUAUCAAACAAUUGACAGUUUAUACCCUCUUAUUUAAUUAAUCUCUUUAAGUCACCAAAUUAAUACUAAUUAAUCUAUGACUUAUAUUAAUCAAAUAACAAUAUUAUUAUUCCUUAUAUUAUUCUCAUAAUAUAUUAAUAAUAUCUAUUCUCUCAUAAUAAAUCAUCCUGUCAAGUUGCUAUGGUGAAGGCAACCUAAAAGGACCAUGCACAAUCGAGUCAAAUACUUGCCUAAUAUAGUUGCAGCCUUAGACACUAUUCCAACAACAUCAUCACCAAGGCUUACUCAAUAGGCACGAAGUCGCAUCGUCACCAACUAUUCCAUCUACCCAUGUUCUACCCAACAUUUUUGUAGAUAUAAAUACAAAGUUACAAACACAGUUUAAAUCAUUUAACAACAGUAUAAAAACAUCAAUUCCAAGCCCAUCUCAAAUAGACAAAUAAUAUAUAACACAUAGCACGUAUUUCAUAGCUAAUACUUUAUAUUUAUGUGUUAAAAAAAAGUAACUAUACACUCACUUGAUCAGAAGAUGAUCGGACAGCACUACGGCUUGUAGAAGCAGUAUUUUUCGAUGAAACCGGGAGAUCUUCACAAAAACCGGGCUUCUCGCGGGCAGAGCUUCGGCUUGGAAAUUUCACUUCUCGGGAUCUUUGGGGCUUCGAGACUUGCUUCGCGGCUCGGAAAUGAUACCGGGGCUUCGGGGUAUCUCUUGCACGAAAAUCAAUGCAAAACGGGAUAGAGAGAAGAGAAAUUAGCAAAGAAACUCGGCUGCCCUCGCAAGGUAUUUAUAGGGGCUGAAACUGGGAUUACGCUGGGCGUAACUCGGAUAAGUCCGAUGACUCUCCCCCUUCGGAUAAUAUCGGAUUUUAUAUUUAAAUUAAAUAUUUUAAUUAUCUAAUAAACUUCAAAAAAUUGUAUCUUCUUCAUACGAGCUCCGUUUUUGACGUUCUUUAUAUCCCUGUGCAGGUGAGACUACGCUCUACAACUUUUGUUUAGACUCCAUCGGCUAAUUUUGACUUUAUUUUUAUUAUUUAUUUUUAGUAGAUUGCUUCGACAAAAAAUCACUCGAUCUCAAGUUCGAGUUUCGGGCUGCAUACUGCUAAACUGAAACUUAGAAAAAUUAUAACUUCCUCAUACGAAGUCAGAUUUGGGCGUUCUUUUUAUGCACACUCACGGUUUAACGAACUCUACGACUUUCGUUUAGAUCGCUAAGGCUAAAUAUCACUCUAAUGUAAAUUCACGAUUUACGUCACGCUGUGUCGUACCGGUUCUGUCGCGAAACUUCGACAAGUCAUAAAUUCUUCGUUAUAACUCGGAUUUCGGCGUUCUUUAUAUAUAUGGAAUCCUUGUACAUAUACUACAACUUAGUUAAGAUUACUCCUUCUAAAUAAUAUUCCAUUAAAAAGUUAUUUUGACGCUUAUCGUCUCUAAAUUGACUAGCCCUGAUCUACGGGCGUUACAAUUAUCUCCCCCUUAGGAUGAUUACGUCCCGGAAUCAUUAACGAAAUAGGGCUUGAACAAUGAUUCCACACGUUAACUUUCCAUCCUAAUUAAUAACCGUGAUGCUCAGUCUUUCAUCUGCUCUUCAUACUAUGUUGGACUUUAAAUCGUAACCUUCAAGUUACAAAAUAAAUCCUUAUUGUGGACUCCUUCUUCUUAGGAUAAAUACAUUCCUUUAUCUAUUGUAACAGACCGAUGGGUCGUGUCCCGAUGACCUCUCAUCGUAGUCGGACUCAAUUUAAUACAACCACUAGGGUCGGAAUAACCAUCAUCCUACUAGCCAUUACCGAAACAAGGGUAAUGACAUACUUGAAUAAAACGAAAUCAAUUACUAGCUUCCUGGUAACCUUGUGAAUUUCCCUGAUCCAAGUGCGAGUCUUGUGCUUCCGGUAGUAUAGAUAUCUACUACCAUUCACACCUACUCAUACUCGUCCCAAGUAUUGUCUUGCAGUCAACCAAGUCACCAUACAUAAAUCACAUAAUCAUUCAACACAUCAGAUAACAAAACCAGUGUUUAUAUUAUUUCUUGAAACGAUUACACGAGGGUUCAAGUUCACUCUAUACUAUGCCUCUAAUAGGCUACACUUCUUGAUACAGACUUUAUAUAUUGACAUGAAGUCUUCAUCUUUUAAUCCUCCCAUCGUUUUCUGCUUCGUCGAGGAGCAUGUGGAACACCCUUGGCUGUGGCGGUGCGUUUUUCUUUGGGCAGUCUCUAGAAAUAUGCCCUUCUUCGUUACAUCCAUAGCACACCUUCUUGUUAGUUGCACAUUUGUUGGCGAAAAUGCCCUGUCUUCCCACAUUUGUAACAGGUCGUCUCCUCGCUACACUUCCUGAUGUGUUUCUUUUUACACUUCUCACACCACUUAGCUUCAUCUCUUCCUCCAGAUUUCGAGAAUUUGGUUUCUUUGUUGAUAAUUGAAGAUCCUUCAUGUUUCCUUUUCUCUCCAACUUUAGCUCUCUCCAGACCCUUUUCUUUUAUUUGGGUCUCAACAGUUUUGGCUGCCCAGAUGGCGGCUUUCAGAGUGGCUGCUUGCUUGACUAUCGGACCAAAGUCCGCUGGUAAUCCAUUGGCAAACUUGUUGACCUUGGAAAUUUCAGCUUCAUUUUCUCCGUAAAGCUUGUAGCAUAUUGUAACGCCCGGGUUUCAGGGCUAAGCAUUUUUGUCAAUGUAAUAGUCUAGGUCAACUCUUGUAACUCUUUUUGAAGUAAUAAAGAUGAAAUAUUUGAGUAUUAUGUGAAUUAUAUGUGUUUAUUAUUUAAUUAUAAAUGUAUAAUUAAUAAAGAAUAAAAAUGAGCGUCAAAAUUAAAGUGUGAGAUAAUCCCGAUAUCUCUACAUAAAGUUGUAGAAUAUGUCUCAAGGUUUCCGUGCAUAUAAGGAACGCCGAAAUCCGAGUUAUAACGAAGAAGUUAUGACCCGUCGAAGUUUCACGACAGAACCGGCACGAUACCGGGAAGCGUGAAUAGUGAAUUUACGAUAGAGCGAGAUUUAGCCUUAGUGAUCUAAACGAAAGUCGUAGAAUAUGUUAAACUAAGAACAUCGAUAAAAAGAACGCCCAAAUCUGACUUCGUAUGAAGAAGUUAUGAGAUUUUAAACAGACCAAUCCUGUCCCGGCUUGUUAAAAAUAUAACUUUAAAAAUAAAGUCAAAAUUAGCCGACGGAGUCUAAACGAAAGUUGUAGAGUACGUCUUCACCUACGCGUGGAUAUAAAGAACGUCAAAAACGGAGUUCGUAUGAACGAGUUACAAAUUAUAAUAGCAUAUUUACGUAUUAAAAUAAAGUAUAAAUCAUGUAUACGUACACAUAUAUAUACAUAUGUAUAUAUCAUUAGAAAGGUAUCGACGAUGCGGUCAUUAUAAGACUAAUGUUGAGUUCUUUCGACAUUAGUUUAGUACAAAUAUCAUUAAAUCCAUUUAUAAUAGUAUUAUAGAGGGGUGUUUAGUUGUUUAUAUAACUAAAAGGUCAUUAAGUAAUUAUGGAGGGUAGUUUUUGAAAAUUCAAUUAGUAUAAAUAAGAGCCUUGGGCUCUCAUAUUUCUUGCACCAUUCUCUUGAUUCAAGAGUCUUUCUCUCCUUAUCCCCCGAGCAUUUCGGUCCCUCGUGAUUCGACUUCUCUUUCUGUAGCUUAGUAUAGUAAGGUGAGCGCUGAAGCGCUGCACGAAUCUUUCUUAGAAAGAUUCAGCGACGAAGUUCUGCCCCUGCAGAGCCCGACUCCUAGCUAAAACCCCCUUGUAAGUAAGUUAUGCUUACCUUAUUUUAAUAUAGCUUAUAUUUAAAAUUAGUAUUGUUAUUAUGAACUUAUAAUAAAUAUUUGAGCUAUUAUUAUAACUUAUAUAAGUGUCGUUAUAAUAUUUUUUUUAACUACUCGCGGUACGGGGAAUCUGGUUUAAAGGGCCGCAUAGGGUUGUUGGAUUUCAGAAGUGCUAUAUGCCAAAAUGGUCCUGCCCUCCGGUGUUUUAUGUCUGGCCCCUGUCUGUACAUAGUGGUUGGAAAAUAUUGUUUAACGCUUAUAUAAUAAUAAUAAUACUAAGACUAAUAGUUGGUCACGGUAAAUAUUAGACUAAAAUUUAGCGAUAAUAAUGCUAGGUUUCGUCGAAGGAAAAUAGAAUCGUUAGAAGCAAGCGCUGCCCGAUUUUGGAAUCAUCACCUUAACAAGUGAGUGCAUAGUUACUUUCAACUUACACAUAGAUAUGAAGUAUUUUAUAUAAAUUACGUGCUAUGUGUGCAUAUUAUCUGAAUACUUGCUAUCUAUGCUAGAUGAACGUUGUUAUACAUGUUUUCAAUGAUUUAAACUGUAUAUGUAUUUUAUAUCUACGAAAAUGUUGGGGUAAAACAUGGGUAGAUGCAAUAGGUGAUGUGUGAUAAAAUGAUGAGAGGCCUCGAUGUUGAUGUUGUUGAUUCUGUCAUCUAGCGGAGUAUGGAUGACGACCACGGACUCUUCUAGACAGUCCAGUGGAACACUAGCAGGCUCGCAACCUGUAGGUGUUUGUGAACGAUAUGUUCACCGGUGUACUCCAUCCCCCACAUGGUUGCCUUUAGGACAUUUAUUGCUGAGGAAUCCCCUUAGCAGUAGUGUCCGUCCCGAUGAUGAUCCUUAGGCUAGGUCCCUUAUGAUAGGUGUUUAGGGACGUAAAGUGAGGAUAACGGGAACGGGUAAUCGGGUUAUUGUUGAUCGAUGAAAUUAAUAAACUUAUUUAUUGUGGGUUGAAAACCCUAUGUGCUCACCAAGCUCCCAAGCCUGACCCACUCAGUUUUAUGUAUUACAGGUAGUGGCGCAUGAGCAUAGGUGUGAUGUUUUGGACGAGGGAUUAUGGAUAUAGGCCUGUAGAUAUGAAAUAAUGUAGUAAGGCUUAUAUUGUACUGUUUAUGCUUUUGAUCUGUACGAACAUGACAUCCCGAGUCUUUUAAUGAAAUACAUUUCUAUGGAAAUGCUUUUGAUAAAUCUUUAUCAUAUUUUUGUUUUGGGACAAAUUCCGCAACACUUUCAUUUAAAAUGUAACUCUGAUUUUUAAACAAAGCAUAAACAAACCGGUCUUUUCUGGCCGUGAUUUUGGGGAUGUCACACAUAUUCAGUGACGCUUAAUUUUCCCUUCUUCAUAUUCUGGAACUCAUUGUUGAUUUCCAGAAGAUCCUGCUCAGAGCAGUAUUGCAUUUUCAAUUGCACCACGAACUCUUCCCAAGACAUCUUGCUAGCUUCCCCCUUUGGCAUUGAACCGGACAGUAACUUCCACCAGCUUAGUACUCCAGAUUUUAACAGAGGAAUUGUAAGAGAAGUCUUAUGUCUGUUACUACACUCGCAACUUUCAAACAUUGUCUCCAUCUCGGAGAUCCAGUCCAUGACUUGCACCGGUGUCGGGCUCCCAAAAAGACACGGUGGUUUGGAUGCCAUGAAAUCCUUGUACUUGCAUCCACGUCCUUCAUUUCCUCCAUCCUGUUUGUUUCGACGAACUAUUGGUGGGUUGGCUUGACCAACGGUCCCACUGUAGUUCCCUAUUUCCGAAUGCCCUCCAUUUACUUCGAGCUCUUCCACUUAAAUUGAUAGUUCUUCACGAUUCUGUCGAAGCAACCGUCUGAUCUACUCCAUUUGACGAUCCAACAUCGCCUGCAUCAUUUCUUGUACACCAGCCAUCGACAUUGGCUCAAGUGCUACAGCUACACCAGGUAUUUGCUCAAUCACUGGUGGUUAAUUCCUAUUCUCAUUUGCGUUUCCAACUCCGCUUCUAGUUCUUGCCAUUCUUGAUCUAUACACCGAAUAAGGUGAAUUUAGAUCCUCAUUCACGAUAGAUACAUAUAUCAUCCUUAUCACUCCGAAACGUUUACAUGCUAGUUCUAAUAUCGUAGACAUACGCUUAGAAUCUGUCACACCCUCGGCCGCCGGCGGAAACGGCGAGGUGCGCGACGUAAAUCAGUAAUCACAAUUAUUAAACAUACAUUGAACAAUACAAAUAUAAUCUUCUAUUAUUACCGAAAUAGAAAUUACAUUAACAAUGACUAUUGCUAAAUCGUGACACACGUCUGACAAUCCGGCGUUUACAAAGAUAUAAUAUAACUAACGGAGAGUCUUCUGAGCGAACACUCCCGACCUGCUAAAUAACCUGAGAAUACAUGCAUUAAAAUAUGUCAAAAAAAUUGUUGGUGAGUUCUACAGGUUUUUGACACAGAGUAUUUUUAUACCCAAAAGUGUUUAAUAAAAUUUAGCUGAUUGACCAACUUUUAUAAAUACAUACUUUUCUAUUAAAAGUAUAAAAUAAUUGGGUUAUAAUAUUGUGUUAUGUCUCAUUCAUAAAUACCCUUUGUUCAAAUUCAAAUGUAGAAAUGUUGGAAAAUACAUAUAAGUAAUCCAGACUUAUAUCAAAAUGUAUUUUUUUAUAUAAAUAUUUUGAAUAUCAAAUUAUAUAAAAAUAAGAAAUGUUACCCUUUGUGAGAACAUAAAAUAAUCAACUUUACUCUUGAAACAUUAUACAAGAAUUUGUAUCAUUUAUAUAAAAAAAAUUCAUAAGUAUUGAAUUUAUGAACUUUGUAAAAUCGUGUCAUGGCAAUAAUUAAGUAUUAUCUGACUUAAUUUGAAAACCGACACUUAGCCGGUGGGGUAAACUCCUCCCACAUAAAUAUUGUGUUUUCUUAUAAAAACAAAUGGUUUAUAUAAAUAACUUAUUUUAUGUAAAUUAAUAAAUCUUGUCGGAGCCGUGUCAUGAUAUUAAUUAAGUGUUAUCUGACUUAAUUUUUGGUACUGACACUUAUCGCUUUAAGUCACAAGCUAUCCCACUAAAUACAGUUUCUUUCAACUGGAAUGAGUGAACAUAAACCUCAUAUAAAUCCAAUAUCGAUUCUAUAUGGUAACGAAACAAAACUGGGAUUUUAUAAUGAAAUCAUAACCGAACUCAUGCACUGUACUUUAUUAAUGCACCGACACCAUAAUAAGCGCGCGUGCUAAAGUCAUUCACCUUGUUGUAACAUGUGGUAAUGUUUCGAUAAUGCUAACGUGAGCGCCAAAAUUCAUCUCGUCAGAUGUAGUUAUAGCUAGCAACUCCAGGCGGGCGGUCGUACCGUAUAAGAUCAAUAAUAUGACACUUACACCCGACGUUAGUCGUUCCCUCGAGGAUUAACGGUUAUAUAUUGGAGAGUUUCUACUAAGUAUUGAGAUCUUAGCUUUUGCGAAACCCGGAAUAGUUUAUAAUGGAAACUCAAACGUAUUGGAUAUGGUAUUCAUAAUAGGUAUGAUGAACCUAUAUGGAAUAUAUGAAGUAGGUAUGAUGAACCUACAUGGAAUAGGUAUGAUGAACCUAUACGAAAUACAUGGGGUAGGUAUGAUGAACCUACAUGGAAUAGGUAUGAUGAACCUAUACGGAAUACACGGGGUAGGUAUGAUGAACCUACAUAGAAUAGGUAUGAUGAACCUAUACGGAAUACAUGAGGUAGGUAUGAUGAACCUACAUAGAAUAGGUAUGAUGAACCUAUACUGAAUACAUGGGGUAGGUAUGAUGAACCUACAUAGAAUAGGUAUAAUGAACUUAUAUAAUCGAUUUUAAAUUCACUGGAUAUGUAACAUUAUUCACCGUUUAGGAAAACGAUAACUGAAAUUCUUAUAACUUCAAGAAUUUACCAUACUAGAUACAGUUUCGAUGUUGUAUUAGCACAAUAACUAAUUUUUGAAUUUAUCCAAGUUUGGAUCGACCGUAGAUCUACAUUCCCCAUAUUUUAUAUGAAUUAUGCGAUAAUAAUUUUAAUACAUUUAAUUUGGGAUAAAAAUAAAUUCUUUAAAUACAAUAAUCAACAAGUAUUUAUUUCGUAAAUAAAGAUUCUUAAGGUUUGAAGUCGAUCAUGUUAUUUAUUGUGAUAAGAAUACUUAGUAUAAUGAAGUUAUGUUGUUAUAAUUAAUAUAAAAAUAUAUUAAUAAAUUCUCACUUCAUUUGUACAUAACCUUAUAUAUGUAUUAAAAGUUAAAUAUUAUAAUUUUAACUAAUAAUCAUAUAAUUUCAUGAAUUUAAUCUUCCAUCCAUUAUGGCAAUAUACUUUCAUUUUAUACACGGAUAAUAUUUUUGGUCAUUAUUAUAUCGUUCCAUGCUUCUAUGAGAUACUUUAUCUUAUACAUGUAAAGUCAUCAUUUUUGCGACUCAUAAUAUUCACUUGUGUAAUUAUAGCAAUCUACUUAUAAUCUUGUGAUUUUUCUGAAUAAUUAUAUUCAUAUUUCUCAUAAAGUAUAAUUAUAUCAAUUUAUAACGAUCUACUUUAACUUAAUAGAUUUGCUAGUGAUUUAUCAUAUUUUUAGAUUGUUAUUUCAUAAACGUUUGGCCAAUAAAAAGUAUGAUGUUAUUUUGUAUAUAAAACUUGAAAAUCAUCAAACUUCGUAGAAACUCAAUUUCGAAGCGUGAUCCCGAUCCCGGUUCUUUUGGUGAAACUCUUCGUGAAUAACCGCAAAGUAACCGUUCUCGGACUUUUAAACGUUUCAGGGUUUAUUUGGUAAUGUUUUAAACUAAAGAGGCUCGUUUAUAAAGAGUUUAAAUCACUUGGGGCCUGCUUUGAAAAGGUUUAUGUUAAAGGACCAGUUUUAAUUUAAAUUUAUAAACACAGGGACUUGUUUUGCCAAAACCAUCAAGUGUACAAAAGGGAACGGUGAGGCUUCUUCACUUCGGGCCAGGAACAGGUGAAAACGAAGGCAGUCGAUGAGGACUCCGGUGAGGCUGAGCGAUCGUGAGGGUGGGCAGGCGUGAGCUCCGGCAACACUCGUGGGUUCAACCUCUGUCUCCGGCGAGAUCCUUCCCUGGUCCAUUGUUUGACAUCGGCGGUCCAAUCAAGGGAAUAGGAACGGACGAACGUAAACAGUCUAAGAGAUCGUCUGGUGGAUCAAAAUCGCGAGGAGAGGGAAGGAAGUUUCCGUCAGGAUUGGCGACCCUUCUUGGGUUUACAUCUGCAUCAUCGGCGGCAGUUGUGGUGGUCGCUGCCGUCUGCGGUGGCGAGGGAGGCUGCUCCGGCGGCUUCUCUUAGCUGCUCUCCUCCAUUCGUCGGCCGCUGAGCACGAAGGGGAAAGGUUCGAAUGGUCCAAUCGAUCGAACAAAGGCAGAUGUUCGGGGUUGCUGUUGGCUAGAUAAUCACAGGUAUUCCUUUUCUCUCCUUUUUGUUAUGACCGAAAAUCAGUGGAGUCUUGGUGGGUUUUGGGUUUGAUUCUUGACAGAGAAUGGAAGCAAGGAGAAGACAGGUGCAAUAGAAGAGGCAGCUGCCUCUUGUUCACUCACUCGAAAACAACCUCUCCUUGGGGUUGUUCUUCUUCUUGAUGGUGACAGCAAAAUUGAAUGUAAAGGAGGGUGUUUGGAGUUGGUUUAUCUCAUCAAAUGCAGGUGGAAAGAACCUAGAAUGGAUGGGGAAGCAACCUCGUAUGCCUCCCAGAGAAGAAAUGGAUAGAGGGGUUCAAGGUAGAGUGAAGAGGGACACGUGAUAUUAUGAAGAUAUGAACUGAUUUUUGGAAGAUUUUUCUGUACUUUGAAAUCCAGAAUUUGAUCUUGAGAGUGUAUUGCAUUAUUGGUUUAUAUUUGUGCAUGUGGGUGCAAAUCUGCUCAAUUUCUUUGUACUAGGUAUUGCUAUGAGAUUGAAUGUAUUUUUGGUUGUAUUUCUUUUUAUAUUCAUGUAUAUCUAUACUCAAGACUUAUAGAUACAUAUAUACUUGAUAAAUCUAGUGUAUGUGUAAUUGAAGUGUGCUUGUGCGUUUGAGGAAAUAAUCCAGAGGGAGGUAGAGAGUUAAAGAGAGAAGGGUAAUUUAAAUUUGAAGUUUGGCUGACUUUUAAAAGUCAAAGUCUU